This 81849-nucleotide long non-coding RNA is filed under the name Setaria italica (foxtail millet). Its description in RNAcentral is "long non-coding RNA (SITA_LNC004612)". Lineage: Eukaryota; Viridiplantae; Streptophyta; Magnoliopsida; Poales; Poaceae. The record is from RNAcentral.
AGACAAAGAUUCAAUUUUUUUCUUCAAAAUUUCCACGUGGUAUAAAUUACAUUAUCCUAUAUAUUUUUGUAAUUUAAUAAUAAUUUUACAUCACAUGUAAUUCACACACUUAGUAAUUCAAUAAAUAGAGGGAAAUAUAUUUAAAUUCUUAAAAAGUAUAUUAUUGCAUAAAAAUUAUGUGUUAGCUACGGAUCACCUUAUACUUUACAAGAGAGGAGAGAGUUUACUAUAAUCUCACAUAUAUGUUUGUUGGUAACUUCGUUAUAUAUUGUUCCUAUGCACAUGAUAAUGUAAUUUCCUAUGUGUUAUGUCAAUUUCCCUGUGUGUUUUAGCUAACACACAAGGAAAUGACUCAUUUAAUCAUUUCCCUGUGAGUCAUAUGAAUUUCCUUGUGUGUUUUAUCUAACCCACAGGGAAAUGAGGAAUUUCUCUGUGCGUCAAGUCAAUUUCCCUGUGUGUUUUACCUAACCCACAAGAAAAUGAGGAAUUUCCCUGUGGGUUUUGGUAUUUGCCUGUGUGUUCUUUUGGAAUCGACAAGGAAAUGUGAAUUUCUCUGUGUGUGCAGAAAAAACCCUCAGGUCCCGUUUGGGUCCAAGGAAUUGGAAUCUAUUUAAUGGAGUAGGCUAAUUUAUGUUGGAAUGUGGCAUUCCACAACUUUCCAAAGUUUAGAUAUAAGCCUAUCUUAAAUUCAUGGGGUGGGAGAUGGAAAUUGAUUCUAUAGAUUAUGGUUAUUAGAUGGAAUUCAAUUCUUAUAGCACGCUCUUAGACUCGCUUCUCUAUAGUAGAAGUGCAGCAUACAAGUAUCUCUCCCAUAUCACCAACUAUAAUAUACAACUAUAUUCCACAUAUAAUUAUAUUAGCUUAAUUAAUUUGUGUCUAAAUUAUGAUUAUUAGGAUGGAAUUCAAUUCCAAUGAUCCAAACGGGGCCUCAGGGAAAUUCGGCACACACAAGGAAAUUAAUUCAGGUUUCCAGUACUGUAAUAACCCUGUAUUUUUACAUCAACACGACAUACAUAGAUUUGAAUAAUUAAGUUUACACCUUUAUUACAGACGACGCUGCACUGCUACUAGCAGCUAGGCACUGUGGAGAUGUAGCUAGAGUAGAGAACAUGCAAGGUGGCCGGCAUGAGCCGAUGAACGACGAUGAUACAUUACGUAGACAUGCAUUAUGCGCCCCCUUACGCUGCGACGAUGGACCCCUGACGCUAUGUCAGUGAUGAAUGAUCACUGACGUGUGUUAUUAGCAACCACAUCACGUCGUGCGAUAACGUUAAUAACGUCAGAGGAACCACUUCAUCCCUUACGCCGACGAGAGGCCAGCAUAUUUCUUGGCCCACAAGAUGUGCCCGUACGGCAGGACGUGGCACACCGGCGGGCCGCCGGGCUUGGUGUCGAGGAACCUGAAGGCGACGUGAUCCUUGUCCCACUCCGACGUGUCGGUGUGGCAGACGGAGAACAAGGUGACCUUGUCACCACCGGCGCCCUCCAUCUCCACCUUGUACGCCCGGGCUGGGCCGGUGCUGUGGCACAUGUACACGGUGUACGGGUACUCCUUCUGGUGGCACCCCACGAAGCUGGAGCCCCGGACGGGUUGCACGGCACGGAUGGUGUACGGCUGCAGCGGCGACCCGGCGCGGGGCACCCUGGAGAUCAUCUCGGUGAUGCUCCUGGUGCCGAGCACCCCCUGGGCACCCUCGACCAGGGCCUCCAGUGAGGUGGUGCAGAACUUGGCCUCCCACUCGAGGCCCGGGUCCUCGCACAUGCCCAGCGUCUCCUCCAUCUUGGCUGCCUGGGCGGAGCCCUCGGCGACGUUGAACUGGGCGAGGACACCCGGGAGGGCGGAGGAGGAGAAGGGGAUGGCGUCGGCGAUGUGGCGGGGGAGGAAGCCGAGCGGGGCGGUCACCGCCGCGGGGAACCGGAAGGGCAGGCUCUGGCGGACGCGCAGGGCCUCCUCGCGGAAGAAGACGGCCAUCUUGGUGUCGGCGAGCUCCUCGGUGGCGCGUGCAGCGACGGAGGAAGCUGGAAGGCUGUACUUGUAGUAGAAAGCAUGGCUCUGCUGUCCAACCUGAAACAACGUGACGUACAGAGAUAUUGAGUUUGCCCGUGCUUGUUCGUACACAGAAAGUCAGAAAAGAUGCGUGCAGCAGGUGUGUGUUAGUGGAUGCUUACCGCGAACAGGACGAGGAGAGCAGUGAGCAUCGGUACGCGCGCCAUUGGAGCUAAUGGCCAGAAGAAGGAAGAAUCCCGUUCCUGUGUUGGAAUGAGGAGGCGUACAGGAAGAGGGUCGUAUUUAUAGGAGUCGCCGAUGAAAGUUAAACUGGAGUCAUCAUCUCUUCCUUCUGUGUGUAUGAUGUUGAGAUAUCUUUGAAGUCUGAUUGGCCGUUGUCAUCAUGUAUCCUUGGUGGCCUUGAUGGGCAAUGUUUGAUUGGUGCAAUAUUUUUCUAGCAUAUUUUGUACAGAUUUGUCAAGUCGGUGGGCUGUCGUUCUCGACUUCUCGUUAGUAUAGCUGUCCAUGUGUUGCACGAGAUUGUGAAAUGUCGAGACCGCUUGAUAGUCAUAUAUCAAACUUAUCAUCAGCUACUAGUAUUACGUACAAUUAUUGCAUACUACGUGGUAGGAAGAAAGUUAGUAAAAAGAAUGUCAAUGCCCCCAGCCAUAAGCACUACUCCAGAGGUUCAUCACUGCCGGCUCCAAACCAGUCUUCACCGUCGGUUUGGAUCCAUCGUCUGACUUUCGGUAGUGAUGGGGAUACCCCAUCACCGCUGGUUUUGGAACUGGCGGUGAAGGCCUAUUAAAAAAACAAAAAAAUGGUGCUGUCGGCCGCCUUACGCCCCGGCCUUGCGCUGCCUCGCCGGAUCCGACCGGCCGCAUCUCGCUGGAUCUGGCCGCUGCCGCCCCACCAGCCGCCAACUGCCUUGGUCCUACUGGAUCCGGCUCAUAGAGAGAGAGAGAGGCGUACGGGGAGAGGAAGCUGAGGCCGCCCACCUACACCACCGCAACCAGCUCCUUCUUCGUCGGAUCCGUGCUAGCUCCUUCUUCACUGGAACCUGCACCGCCACCACCGGAUCUAUGUGUGUCCUCACAUGAACUCCGACUAGGGACAACUUUAGAAUAACCAUACAAGUAAAGAGUUUCACAUACAAUUCACAUAAUUGCAAAUCAAUUCAAGUAGCCUUCAAUGGAUAUUCAAUGAACACAAUCAUGGAUACAAAUGGAAUAUCAUCAUAUCUAUGAUUGCCUCUAGGGCAUACCUCCAACAGUCUCCCACUUGCACUAGAGUCAAUCUAGAAGGUACCUAAUACCCAUCACUCUUACAUGCGCAUCAUGCUUAGCCUGCGGGAGUGGUUUUGUCAACGGAUCAGAAAUGUUCAGAUCCGUGUGUAUUUUGCAUAUCUUGAUCUCACCCCGGUUAACGAAGUCUCAAAUGAGAUGAAAUCGCCGCAUUACGUGUUUGUUCUUCUGGUGGUUCCUUGGCUCCUUUGCUUGCGCAAUUGCCCCAUUGUUAUCACAGUAGAGAUUCAAUGGGCUGGACGCAUUCGGGAAUACACCAAGCUCAAUAAGGAAAUUCCUUAUCCAAACACCCUCCUUCGCGGCUUCCGAAGCCGCGAUGUACUCGGCUUCUGUCGUAGAAUCGGCCACCGUCUCCUGCUUGGAACUCUUCCAACUAACAGCACCACCAUUCAGCGUGAACACAAAUCCUGAUUGUGACUUUGAAUCAUCUCUGUCGGUUUGGAAACUAGCAUCGGUGUAACCUGUUACAACGAGCUCCUCCUCACCUCCAUAGACGAGGAACAUGUUUUUAGUCCUUCUCAAGUACUUAAGAAUAUUUUUCACCGCUGUCCAGUGACUCUCACCUGGAUCAGAUUGGUGUCUGCUUGUCAUACUUAGCGCAUAUGAAACAUCUGGGCGAGUACUUAUCAUUGCAUACAUGAUAGAUCCAAUAGCCGAUGCAUAUGGCACUCUACUCAUGCGAUCCCGCUCAUCAGCAGUCGAAGGACACUGAGUCUUGCUGAGAUGUAUGCUAUGUGACAUAGGCAAGAACCCUUUCUUUGCCUCUUCCAUGCUGAACCGCUUCAACACUUUGUCAAUGUAAGUAUCUUGGCUUAAACCUAUAAGCCUUCUCGAUCUAUCUCUAUAGAUCUUAAUGCCCAGAAUAUAUGCCGCUUCCCCUAAGUCCUUCAUCGAAAAACUAUUUUUCAGUGAAGUCUUUACGGACUCAAGCAUAGGAAUGUUAUUUCCAAUCAGUAAUAUGUCAUCCACAUAUAAGAUUAGAAAUACUACAGAGCUCCCACUAACCUUCUUGUAAACACAAGACUCUUCUUCAUUCUUGGUGAAGUCAAACCCUUUGACCACUUCAUCAAAACGAAUGUUCCAACUCCUAGAUGCUUGCUUCAAUCCAUAAAUGGAUCUGUGAAGCUUGCAUACCUUUCCAGCAUUUUUCGGAUCGACAAAACCCUCGGGCUGUAUCAUAUACACGUCCUCAGCUAGGUUUCCAUUCAGGAAAGCUGUUUUGACAUCCAUCUGCCAUAUCUCAUAAUCGAAAUAUGCAGCUAUAGCUAGAAUAAUCUGAAUGGACUUAAGCAUCACUACGGGCGAGAAGGUCUCAUCGUAGUCAACUCCUUGAACUUGUCGAAAACCUUUUUCGACAAGUCGUGCUUUAUAGAUGUGAACAUUUCCAUCCAUGUCCUUUUUCUUCUUAUAGAUCCACUUGCACUCUAUGGCUUUAACACCAUCAGGCGGGUCAACCAAGUUCCAAACUUGAUUGUGUCCCAUGGACUCUAUUUCGGAUUGCAUGGCAUUCUGCCAUUUUUCGGAGUCUUGGUCCAUCAUUGCUUUUGCAUAUGUCGCAGGCUCAUCAUUGUCCAACAAUAAUAUUUCCCGCAUUUCGCGGAGCCUUGCCGACCUUCGUGGUUGUGGUGGUGCUUCUCUUGCCAUGGGUAUCUCAACUUGUUCUGCUACGUUAGCAUCACUCAUUGAUUCUUGCCCGAUCGGCUCAUCUUGAACUUCUUCAAGAUGCACUGUCUUUCCACUCUUUUCUCCUUUGAGAAACUCUUUCUCUAGGAAAACCCCGUUCCGAGCGACAAACACUUUGCCUUCUGAUCGGUUGUAGAAAUAAUAUCCCAAAGUUUCCUUUGGAUAUCCCACGAAAAUGCACUUAUCCGACUUGGGUGUGAUCUUGUCCGACUGAAGUCGCUUGACAAACACUUCACAUCCCCAAAUCUUUAGAAAAGACAAACUAGGAACCUUUCCAGUCCAUAUCUCAUAUGGUGUCUUAACUACGGAUUUAGAUGGUACCCUAUUAAGUGUGAAAGCUGCUGUUUCUAGAGCGUAUCCCCAAAAUGACAACGGUAGGUCCAACUGGCUCAUCAUUGAUCGAACCAUGUCUAACAAAGUUCGAUUACGUCGCUCGGACACACCGUUUCUCUGAGGUGUUCCAGGCGGCGUAAGUUGUGGAACAAUUCCGCAACUCUUUAGAUGAUUGCUAAACUCGUGGCUCAAAUACUCGCCUCCACGAUCAGAUCGUAAGGCCUUAAUUUUCUUGCCACGCUGAUUUUCAACUUCAUUCUGAAAUUUCUUGAACUUUUCAAAGGUUUCAGACUUGUGCCUCAUCAAGUAGACAUAGCCAUAUCUACUAAAAUCAUCAGUGAAAGUUAUGAAGUAUUGGAAUCCUCCUCUAGCCAUCGUGCUCAUUGUUCCGCAUACAUCAUUAUGUACGAGUUCCAACAAGUCUACUGCUCUCUCAGGAAAUCCUGUGAAAGGCGUCUUGGUCAUCUUGCCUAGCAAGCAAGCCUCACAUGUCUCGUAUGAUUCAAAAUCAAACGAAGUUAGAAGUCCAUCAGAAUGGAGCUUCUUCAUGCGCUUUUCACUUAUAUGACCCAAACGACAAUGCCACAAGUAGGUAGGACUCAAAUCAUUAGGCCGAGGCCUUUUAACACUUAUAUUACAGACAGGUGAACCAUCAAGAUUUAAAACAAAUAAUCCAUUCACAAUGGGUGCAAAAGCCAUAAACAUAUUAUUCUUAGAGAUCACACAACCAUUAUUUUCACUCGCAAAUGAAUAACCAUCCUUCAUCAAACAUGAAGGUGUUUCGACUUAAACUAGGAACAAAAUAACAAUUAUUCAACUCUAUAAUAAAUCCUGACGGGAGGUGGAGUUGCAUCGUCCCGAUGGUCAACGCAGCAACUCUUGCAUUAUUGCCCACGCGGAAAUCAACUUCUCCUCUUUCCACGCUUCUACUUCUUAUCAUUCCCUGCAUCGAAUUGCAAAUAUGAGCAACCGAUCCGGUAUCAAAUACCCAAGAAUUAAUAAUUCUAUCAGCGAGAAAUAUGUUGUCUAUAACAUUAACAACAAGCGUACCUGAGGUAGAAGUACUCUUACUUCCGCCAUUCUUCAACGAAGCUAGGUACUGCUUGUAGUUUCUCUUCCAGUGACCAAGUUCAUGACAGUAAAAGCACUCUUUGUCUGGAGCAGGUCCAGGUCCAGCUUUAACCUUGGGCGGUGGGUUUGGCUUGGACGUUCCAGCCUUGCCCUUCUUCUUCCAAGGAUUGCCCUUCUUCUUAAAGCUAGGCUUGUUCUGUAUAGCCAUCACAUGGCUAGUACUAGCGCUUUUCUUGAUGUCUACCUCUGCUGUCUUGAGCAUACCACACAGUUCAUUCAAACCCUUCUCUGUCCCAUGCAUAUGGUAGUUCGAGAUGAAGUUCCCAUAGCUAGGCGGAAGAGAUGAAAGAAUGAAGUCAGUGGCCAACUCUUUGCCCAUUGGGAAGGCCAGCUUCUCCAAUCGCCGAGUGUAACCAACCAUCUUGAUUACAUGUGGUCCUACUGCUGCGCCUUCUGCUAACUUGCACUCCAGAAACGCUUUGGACACAUUGAACCUUUCGGUCCUAGCCUGUGUCUGGAACAUGUCCUUGAGCGCCACGAUCAUAUCGUGUGCCUCAUGAUUUGUUUCGAACUGCAUCUGCAGCUCGGGUUCCAUGCAAGCAAGCAUAAGGCAGCUUACCUCAAGAUUAGCAUCAAAUGCCUUCUUGUAAGCAGCCUUAACGGCAGCAGAUGCAUCAUCAGCAGGUACUGGUGGUAGUGGGGUGUCUAGAACAUCUUCCUUUUUAUCGGCCCUGAGAACAAUUCUCAGGUUACGGAUCCAAUCCGAGUAGUUUGUUCCAUUCAACUUGUCCUUCUCAAGGACCGAACGCAAAGCAAACGAUGUGGUGGUGUUGCUAGGUGCCAUUUAAUCUACAACAAAAGUAAUGCAAAAUACACUAAGACAAACGUAUCCAUGAUAGAGCAAAUUACAUUAAACUAUUUUAACAGAAUCUACUCCCACUAAAAUCAAUAUCCCUCUAUUGAAACUUAGUGAUUCAGGAUCCACAACUAACAAGUCUACUAGUGAGCUUUAGCAUCACCGCUAGCAAACGAGGUAGAUCGGUAAGCAACUUUUGCUAAUCAUAUCACAUAUGACUCCUGUUGUUGGGUGACAUCUCUAUGUCUCGGCACCCAACCUUUAUGCCCCAAGGUCCUUAACUGUUAAGAUAACCUUGUUAAGCAAACCAACCCUUAUGCGUGUAAGUGUCCGACACAAACCCGUCUAGUCAAGGAAAACUAGUGGUACCCUAAUUUCAUAGACCCACCACUAAUUGUACAAGACAUGGAACGGUGCAAGUUUUAGUUGGGAGGGCAUACUAACUUAAACUUUGUGAGGAAUCGUUCUACUUCUAACAUCAUAGCAUGCAGAAAGUAAAACAUAAACAGAAUAGCAUUCACACAAUUGUGACACAGUAUGGCCCGUUUUUCUUAUGGUGAUCUCCAUCUCCAUAGAACCUGUUCACCAUGGUGAUCUCCAUCUCCAUGUUCCAUGUGCGCCAUCCUCCUGGUGAUGAGUCCUCCAAGAACUAGAACAUGCUAUUACGCCUAAUAGCUAGUAAAGAAUCUAGUAAUGAAGAUUACAUAGUUGCUUGGAUCAUCACAGAUUGGUACGCAGACCAUUAAAUACAAUAAAGUGACAACACAUAUGGCUCCUGCCGUGUUGCCGUACGCGCGACACGCAGGUCACGAAUGAGUUACACACAUGCAUCACAUACACAAGGGGGCCAUACUGAUCACAAGAUACAUACAACCAUCCUGCAAAACAGAGUUAGGCAUCCUAACGUUCCAAACUUCGGAGGCCCGAAACUCCAUCUUCCAAGCCGAAUUUGGAAAACCUAAUUUCGCCGAAAACGGCGAAGCGGUUGAAUUUCAUGUGUAACUUUUUCUGUAGAUCAAUUUUCAUAUAAAAUUCGCCCCGAUCCGAGAUCGUACCGAAAAGUUAUGGCUGAUUUACCGAAGCAUACGCAUACGGCAAAAAUCCCGACCCCGGCAGUAGAUCCCAUCUACUAUUGCACAUCUAAUGCGCCUGGCGUAUGACCCUGGAUUUCGAUUCGACCAAUCAUAUUGAUCUUCGCUCACUGCAACUGGAUUUACGUGUAUCACUUAACUCCGAUGGCGGAAACCGACCGGUAGGAGUAUGUCGUUACACUACCAUUACAGCAAGGGCAUGAAACCAGGACAUAGAUCAAACGGAAAACUCGCAUAUCUCCAUAUGCACACAUCCCGAAUCCAAAACUAAGCAGCUACGGCUCUGAUACCACUGUUGGGAUACGAGGUAGGCUACACUAGCGCAAAUCAAAAUUUCUACCGCGUAUAACCAGGAAGAACUGCCGUAUAAGGAUCACGGGAUUACCACUCGACGCACUACUGGUGCGGAAGAUGUAGAUAUGCGUCGAUGCAGUGAAGACGAUCACGUAGUCGUACGUAGUCGAUCAACAUAGUCGUACGUAGUCGAUCACGUCCAGUAGCUCCUCAGCAGCUCGUCCACGUGCAGCAAGAUCGCAUCCGGUGCCGCGGGUCGUCGUCGGCUCGUCGCGGCUCGUCGUGGCUCGUCGGCGGCUCGUCCAAGUGCUGCAGGCGCAACACCUCCAAGGUAUCCACACGUGCAGGGAGGAAGCGUCGCAAGCCGGACUGCUAGAUCCGUGAGUUGCAACAGGUGAGGGCGUGGGAGGCGCGGCAGGUGUGUUUCGCCAAAAGGUAUAAACCCUAGGGCGCCCCCACCCCUCUAUUUAUAGAGGUUCCUGACGGGCCUCUAGGUCCGAGGCCCAUUAGUAAUUCUAAACCUAAUUCAACUCGGAUCAGAUCCGAAUUGGGCUUCCAGCCCCUUAAGUGUGUGACCAUAUGGGUUCGGAUACGUAUAGACAUGGCCCGAGUACUCCUACUCGGCCCAAUAGUCGGUAGCGGCCUCUAGCAAGACGUGCCAACUCCUAUACGCACACGAAGAUCAUAUCAGACGAACCAUCACAACAUAAUAUACAUGCUAUUCCCUUUGCCUCACGAUAUUUGGUCUAGCUUCAAGCCGACCGCUCUUUCUCGAUCCUGUGAUUCGGAAUCCCUUUGUAGGUUAACUCUUAACCGUACGUAGCAUGGCCAUGCAUUUUUGGAUCCGAUCACUCGAGGGGCCCAGAGAUAUCACUCUCAAUCAGAGAGGGGCAAAUCCCAUCUUGAUUGACCAUGUCUCAUAGCAUGCUUCUUGACAAGGAAAUGUGAAUUUCUCUGUGUGUGCAGAAAAAACCCUCAGGGAAAUUCGGCACACACAAGGAAAUUAAUUCGGGUUUCCAGUAGUGUAAUAACCCUGUAUUUUUACAUCAACACGACAUACAUAGAUUUGAAUAAUUAAGUUUACACCUUUAUUACAGACGACGCUGCACUGCUACUAGCAGCUAGGCACUGUGGAGAUGUAGCUAGAGUAGAGAACAUGCAAGGUGGCCGGCAUGAGCCGAUGAACGACGAUGAUACAUUACGUAGACAUGCAUUAUGCGCCCCCUUACGCUGCGACGAUGGACCCCUGACGCUAUGUCAGUGAUGAAUGAUCACUGACGUGUGUUAUUAGCAACCACAUCACGUCGUGCGAUAACGUUAAUAACGUCAGAGGAACCACUUCAUCCCUUACGCCGACGAGAGGCCAGCAUAUUUCUUGGCCCACAAGAUGUGCCCGUACGGCAGGACGUGGCACACCGGCGGGCCGCCGGGCUUGGUGUCGAGGAACCUGAAGGCGACGUGAUCCUUGUCCCACUCCGACGUGUCGGUGUGGCAGACGGAGAACAAGGUGACCUUGUCACCACCGGCGCCCUCCAUCUCCACCUUGUACGCCCGGGCUGGGCCGGUGCUGUGGCACAUGUACACGGUGUACGGGUACUCCUUCUGGUGGCACCCCACGAAGCUGGAGCCCCGGACGGGUUGCACGGCACGGAUGGUGUACGGCUGCAGCGGCGACCCGGCGCGGGGCACCCUGGAGAUCAUCUCGGUGAUGCUCCUGGUGCCGAGCACCCCCUGGGCACCCUCGACCAGGGCCUCCAGUGAGGUGGCGCAGAACUUGGCCUCCCACUCGAGGCCCGGGUCCUCGCACAUGCCCAGCGUCUCCUCCAUCUUGGCUGCCUGGGCGGAGCCCUCGGCGACGUUGAACUGGGCGAGGACACCCGGGAGGGCGGAGGAGGAGAAGGGGAUGGCGUCGGCGAUGUGGCGGGGGAGGAAGCCGAGCGGGGCGGUCACCGCCGCGGGGAACCGGAAGGGCAGGCUCUGGCGGACGCGCAGGGCCUCCUCGCGGAAGAAGACGGCCAUCUUGGUGUCGGCGAGCUCCUCGGUGGCGCGUGCAGCGACGGAGGAAGCUGGAAGGCUGUACUUGUAGUAGAAAGCAUGGCUCUGCUGUCCAACCUGAAACAACGUGACGUACAGAGAUAUUGAGUUUGCCCGUGCUUGUUCGUACACAGAAAGUCAGAAAAGAUGCGUGCAGCAGGUGUGUGUUAGUGGAUGCUUACCGCGAACAGGACGAGGAGAGCAGUGAGCAUCGGUACGCGCGCCAUUGGAGCUAAUGGCCAGAAGAAGGAAGAAUCCCGUUCCUGUGUUGGAAUGAGGAGGCGUACAGGAAGAGGGUCGUAUUUAUAGGAGUCGUCGAUGAAAGUUAAACGGAGUCAUCAUCUCUUCCUUCUGUGUGUAUGAUGUUGAGAUAUCUUUGAAGUCUGAUUGGCCGUUGUCAUCAUGUAUCCUUGGUGGCCUUGAUGGGCAAUGUUUGAUUGGUGCAAUAUUUUUCUAGCAUAUUUUGUACAGAUUUGUCAAGUCGGUGGGCUGUCGUUCUCGACUUCUCGUUAGUAUAGCUGUCCAUGUGUUGCACGAGAUUGUGAAAUGUCGAGACCGCUUGAUAGUCUUAUAUCAAACUUAUCAUCAGCUACUAGUAUUACGUACAAUUAUUGCAUACUACGUGGUAGGAAGAAAGUUAGUAAAAAGAAUGUCAAUGCCCCCAGCCAUAAGCACUACUCCAGAGGUUCAUCACUGCCGGCUCCAAACCAGUCUUCACCGUCGGUUUGGAUCCAUCGUCUGACUUUCGGUAGUGAUGGGGAUACCCCAUCACCGCUGGUUUUGGAACUGGCGGUGAAGGCCUAUUAAAAAACAAAAAAAUGGUGCUGCCGGCCGCCUUACGCCCCGGCCUUGCGCUGCCUCGCCGGAUCCGACCGGCCGCAUCUCGCUGGAUCUGGCCGUUGCCACCCCACCAGCCGCCAACUGCCUUGGUCCUACCGGAUCCGGCUCAUAGAGAGAGAGAGAGGCGUACGGGGAGAGGAAGCUGAGGCCGCCCACCUACGCCACCGCAACCAGCUCCUUCUUCGUCGGAUCCGUGCUAGCUCCUUCUUCACUGGAACCUGCACCGCCACCACCGGAUCUAUGUGUUGCCGCUGCUCUCACCCUGCCGCCGCUCCUCACUGCCACGAGUGAGGGGUGAGCGAAGGGGGGAGAGGAGGGGCAGCCGAGGGUGAGGAGAGGGAGAUCACGCAGGACGAUGGUUGUCGGCGGAGAGAGGGAGGGGGCGACAGUGGGAGAGGAAGGGGUCGGGAGGAGCUGAGAGGGAGGAGAGGGCGGCGAGAGAAGAGGGAGGAGAGGGUGGCGGGAGGGCACUAAAGGGCCUAAUUAGUGCCGGUUGGUCUCCCCAACCGGUACUGAUUUGUUUUUUCCUUUCUUUUCUUAUUUUCUUUUUCUUUAUUCUAUAUUCGUACGUAUACUACUUCUAAUACGCUAAUAUAUAUAAAGUUCUAUUUAUCUUCAAUAUUACAUUUAAGAUACUAUUAUAUAUAUACAUAUUAUGCAUACACAUAUAUGAAUAAUAUUAUACAUAUAUAUAGACAUAUUGUGCGUACACAUAUCAUAUCUACUAUUCUAAACCUGAGUCCUGACGGUGCUGUAGAUUUGAUGCAUCAUUAUGAAACUCCCCCGCUGGAUUUAUGACCUCGUCUAGAAGAAAUCCACUUGAAGAUUCUAUCUUUCCUGUACAUCAUCUGUGUCAUUAGCAAAGUUUAUUACAUAUAUAGUAGAUCAAUGGGUUUGCACAAUUGACUUACUUCAAAUAUAAGCAAUUAAAUUGAAAUACUUAAUCUAAUUUUUCUAAGUAUAUACACAAGAAUUGAUUUUUGAAGUAUAAGCAAAUAAAUUGAAAUACUUAAUCUAAUUUUUCUAAGUAUAUGCACAAGAAUUUAUUUUUGAAAUAUAAGCAAAUAAAUUGAAAUACUUAAUCUAAUUUUUCCAAGUAUAUACACAUAAAUUGGUUUUUGAAGUAUAAGCAUAUGAAUUGAUUUUAAAGUAUAUACACAUGAAUUAAUUUUCUAAGUAGAACUAAUUUAUUGUUGAGAAUUUUGUAUACGUACGGUUAAUUCGUGGUCGGUCAUACGGUUCGGACGUAUAAAGCUGUGGAUGAACUCACAUGCGUAGUAUCCAUAUAAAUUAGUACCCGGCUCCUGUCUCGAAUACUAUAUAUAUUGGAAAAAAAGUUAUGAAAUAUUUGUUGUGUUAAAUAAAGUGUCACGAGAUGUGAAAAUUCAACACAUACUGGGAAUUCACUCUUCCAUUCAAGUUCCUUCUUGAAUUCACCCACGUGAGUUCGAUGGAAUCGAGCCCAUGCUUUGUUCAUAGCGUCUAUGAUGUCAGUGUAUUCUUGUUUUUUUUUCCCUCAAAGAGUCGAAGACAUAUACGACGCUCAUAUCAGGCACAACAACAAUGAGUAUCCAAUGAAAUCUGUACAACCAAAUUAAAGCUAGUUAAUCUUAUGUUUAACUGCUAGUUCGAAAAUAAAAGAGAUGGGAAACACGCUCACUUGAAGUUAUACACUAGUAGUAUGUACCUCUUGUAAUGUUGCUUGUCGAGGAACUUAUAUAUAUUCUUCAAGGUCCGAUUUGGUUUAUCUCUUAGAUUUGCCUCAUUUAUAACAUCAGGGUCUAUGUAGCCUACGUCAUAGUAUCUGUUCCUCCGACAAGUUUGAAUCUCCAUCCUGCAUGAUGCAAAAUUGAUUAUGAGUUAAGACAUCGCAAAUUGACUAGAGUGGGGAUUUUGAAGUUAGAGGAAUAUAUUAAAGACUUAUAGAACCCAGCAACUGAUGAGUGUGUUGUCAAGUGCAUCUUGAUUGAACAGGAAAUACAAUUCCUCCAGCAGCACAUUUAUGAUGUCAUCCCCACAAAAAUAAUGUUCAUCACCAAUCCAAACUUCGAUCAUGGCAAAACCCUCUGCUGUAGCCUCCAUGUACCAUUGGUGCAACUUACAUCUGUGUUGGGAGACGUUGCACCAACUGCGGCCACACAAGCGGUUUCCCAUACUCAUAUUUCCAUUUAGCAGCCCCAGGGUGCGUUGGGAUGUGAUCCUCCCCUUGAAGUUAAGCUGCGGUCAGAUUUGUAUCUUUAGCGAAUUGCAGUAGGUUCUUGUCAAACUCAGAAAGCACCUUGAGCGAGGCAACCGAUUGGUUGGAUUGGGCUCCAAGUUGAGGAAUAGUUGACUCACUUUUCUUCCUCUUCUUAGAAGCUUGAUUUGUUAUCUGCCUGUCGUAAUCAAAUAGUGGUGGUUUCUCUGGCUGUUUCCUUUGCUCUACCUCCAUGCUUCUGAUGAAAGGUCGAAGUUUACGCUUAUCAAGUGGUGGCUCCUAUUUCUAUUUCUACCUCCAUGUUUCUUUUUGAGCAACUCCAUGCUUUUUUCUCAACAUCCACUGCUGCCUUUAGUUCCUCAUCUAUCACAUCAUAUGGUAAUUUCUCAACUGGUUGCUUCUCCUUCUGCUUCUUCUACAUCUUCUUAGGAGGUGGCGGUGGAACUGAAGGCUUAUUCAUAGGAGGUGGAGGUGGACUCAUGCUUGGAUCCCUUUCUAGUACUGGACUCAUGCUAGGAUCUCUAUCUGGUAGUGGAGAGGGUGCCCUGGUAGAUGGCGUAGGUGAUCUUGCCCUUGAGCCUUGAGGAGAUGAUCCCAAGGUUGGGGGAUUCGGCUGCGUAAUCCUUAUGUAGCGCUUGGGCCACAGAAUCUAACCAUGGAUAGCUUCUCCUAGAUUCUUUUCCCCAUCACCUCCAGGGAUCUCUAGUUCCAGGUCAUCCCAACCGUCGACCACUCGAUCCACCCUAACUUUGGCGUAACCGUGAGCUGGAAUCUCCACGCCAUGAAGUGUUUGGCCUUGCGUCGGUUGCUCAGCCUCACCAUAAGCCACCGUGAUGAGCUUGUUUUUCAUGGGAGUAACAAGCUCACAAGGGGCUCUCCCAGUGAUGUCAUCCAUGGGGUGGUGUUGGUUGUCCUCAAGUAUCUCAGAGGAUCCUCUAGCUGGGGCUUCUGUGGAAGCAACACUACUUCGACGCUGAGUCAGGCUUACAUCGACAUGUGGCUCUGAUGCUGCCGCAGCUGCUUGUUCACUAGCUUGUUUGCUCAGAGCUAGCACCACACACCGGUCGAUUAUUUCCUCCAUUCUUGCCUCUGAUGCUGCUACUUGUUCUUGCAGCUCUUGCAGCUGUCGUACGUGGUCGGCCUUACUUCUUUGGCGAUUGCUAUAUGAUUCAAUGUGCUCAUGAAAGGCAAACUUCCACGGAAUGACUCCUUUGCCUUGGCAUCAUCCAGGGUGUUCGGGAUUUCCAAGUGCCAUAGUCAGCUCGUCCCUCUCUCGAUCAGGCAUGAAGGAUCCAUCGACCGUUUUCUUUACUAAGUCAUCAAGUCUUGUAGCUGCUUCUCUUAAUUCAUUGCUGAAUACAAUUGAUCCAUCUUUGGGAUUAAGCCUGCCGCCAUGAGCAUAAAACUAAUUCUUUGCUCGCUCAGGCCAUUCGACAGUCUGUGGCACUAUUCCCCUGGCAAUUAGGUCAUCUUUCAUUGUGACGACCGACCCCAAAUCUUUCGAGUUAAUCUUAAUCCGAGUCCCUGAUCCCCUAUCUCAGCUUCCCCAAGUUAAGCGCUCAACCUCCAGUCCCGGUCCCAACCCCUGAGACCUGACCCCUCUCCGCUGGUUCCCAGCUCUGACCCCUGCCGACCCCAACGCACCCCGUCGGAUCCUUCGAAGUCUUCCCAAUAGUGUCUCCCUUCAAUCUGAGCAGAAGACCAACCGAGACUGACCGGUGGACCUGCAAAAUCUUUUCCCAGAUCCCUCGAGACAGACGCACUCGAGCGGCCUGCACUCCUUCAGAGUUCCCCCGCCGCGUGGCUCAACUCCUCCGACCCCUACCGCUCCGCCCCGUCGUCGGCCGCGACCGGAUGGAUUCCCGCGCCCCAUUCCCCAAUCGCAGCAGAAGCCCUAUGCAACCCUUUCUGCAGUGCCUCGCAGCUCACGCCCAUCAUCACCUCGCCGGACCCCCGACUGCAAAGCCCGAUGCCUCCCAGCUUUUUUCGCCGCUUCUCCCCAGUCGCGCCGCCCUAGAUGCGCUACGCGACGAUUCCUCCUUCGCCAACCCCGACCUCAACUGCGACAGCCCCUUUUCCGCCUUGCCAGAACUGCGCCCCAACAGACCGCUGUUUCGUGCUCGCCCGUGUAGCCGCAGCCCGCCUGUCUUCUCACCAUUGCAACCUCGCUUCUAGCGCCGUUUCCCCUAUCACACCCAUCAGAUCCGCCGCACGACGACGCCCGCCUUCGCCAAAUCGCAACCACCGGCAAAACCGCGCCUGCUUUGCCCUGUCUCUGGUGCCCAAUGGCCGAAGGUGUCAUCCCCGAAGUCCUGUUCCGCCGCCCCGCUGAUCAAUCGCCACCAUGGCCGCGCACUCCAUCGUUUCUUCCCGGUCUUCGUGCUGCUCCAACUCUCUCUCUCCCCGCGCAGCUAUAAAAGGGAGUGCCAGAGUCCCGUCGGAGUCCCCUUCGCCAUCGCUGCCUUACCGCCAUUCCUCUGUUUCGUGCUCAAGAGCUGCCGCCUAAGUUCCUGAGGAACUCUCCUCUCUACCCAACACCUGCCUUUCCCGAUCCACCCAGCCACUUGCUCCUCCACGCUGUGCUAAAGCUUGCUUGUUGUCCACAAGAAGCACCGCCGCCGCCGCCGGAGCACCGCCGGACAUCGCCGCUGUAAGUCUUAGUGCUCCAGUUCCUCCGCCCAAGUCUGCUCCUUCCCGACCCCAAGUUUCACCUGUAAACCGAACGUAAGCUGCCGACCCUUUUCCACCUCGCUCGACCCUGUCUGUCCGUCCGACCCCUUUUUCCGCCUCGCCCGACCCUUCUGUUCGUCCGACCCCUUCUCCAUCUUGCCCGACCCUGUCUGUUUCGCCGACCCUUUCUCCGCCUCACCCGAGGGCUCGGCUGUAUCUUUUUCCUUGAACCGAGGGUAUAUGUGUAAAAAUCAGGGACUUCUCUGCGCUAAGUCUCAGGACCCCCAGCACAACUAUUCCUCUAGUCUAAGGGUCAGAUCAUAAGUUCCUUCCCAUCCGACCCUUUUAUCUUGCUCUCCACCAACCCAAGUGAACUUCCCCACCUUUUUCCAUAGCUUUGCUACAAGUUUCUGGGCUAAAACUUGCAAAUGUUGCUGCUGAAUUAACCGUCUAAAGUGCUAACUCUUGCAUUUGUAUUCGUGUAGAGUUGAAUCUCGCCGAUGGCGUCUACGAGCUGUACCCGGCGCCAGAAGAUGGGGUUGUAGCCGAGCUCCCACUUCCAGGAGCUGAAGCCGCCCUAGCAGAAGACCCGUUCCCUUCCUCCUCGCUUGAAGGCAAGCCCCGGAGCAUGAACCCCAGUUUCCCAAACUUGCGCAUGCCUUCUUCAUCAUGUUUGUGCAUUUACGUAUAGGAGUUGUUUGCAACCAUAGAUGCAUGACUUAGAUCCCUUGAUCUGAACACUAGUCUGUUGGGUUUGAGUAGUGGCAAUGGUUAAAUAGGAAGCGGUAAAAGUCGAGUGAUUUCCUGUCACUCGCGAGUUGUAGGAGUUGGUUGUUUCUCCCUCUAUUACCACUAUAAGGAUGAUGGAUGGGGCAAGGUUUUGGUUAACUCUUUGGUGGUCGGCUGAUCGCCCCGUCUGUCUAUGAAAUCUAUUAAGGCCCGACAGUGGUGGUGUUCGUGAUCAAGUGUUUGAAAGUACUAACCUCAUACUCAGUAUGGGAUGAGGAAGCCUAGUACCGGAUUGAACCUAGACGUGAGCGGUUGCCCCAUUGUCCUUGGAACGGAGUUCCCCUACGGCCGCACGUGGUGACAAGUGUGGUCACAGAACGGCAGAGGCCGGGUCUGUGGAACCUUGCACCAAAGGAAAUGGGCCCGACACGGGUUAGGGAAUUGAUGGGGAAGGCCGACACAGGAAGCGACCCUCGGUGGUGCGCAGAUGUCGUGAGGUUAGGUUCACCUUGCAUGGUUAAAGAACUUGAAUCGAUUCGUCUGCCUCUCACAGUUUGAGACUGCUUGAUCGGUAUGCUACACUGAGUAAUAAAAGAAUCUGAUGAUGACAUGGUCUUGAUGAUGUUAUAUACCCUUUGGUUGGAUCUAUGUUGCUUAGAGUAAGUUGACAACUUAGACCGGUUAAUGAACCUAGAAUCUGAGCUAAAACUUUGAAAAUAAGGAUCUACUUAGUGCUUUUGGCAAACAAACCCCUCAGCCAAAGAGCCUUGCAUGUCUAGAAGUGGUGGAGUAGUUUUCCUCUCGGUCGGUUAAGUCUUGUUGAGCUUAGUAGCUCAGCCUUGUUGUGGCUUUCUUUUUCAGGUGAAGUCGCAGCUCCUGAGUCUUCUCCUGUUUUCACUUGGCUGCCCCAACUCCCUCCGGGUUGGACGGUCGAGUGGGAUCCCUCCUCGGACGGCGUGGAAAGGGAUCACUAACGUCUUGGCUGGCCUCACAAAGGACGUCCGACCCCUACGUUUAGCUUCCGCAUGUUUUACCUUCUGUUGUUUUCUUCAGAACUUGUUAACUCUGAUUUUAACCCAGUGUGUAACAACUUGUAAUCUACUGUUGGACCUUUUGUAUUCUCUGGAACCACUCACCUUCGUGUGGGUUUUGCUAAACUCGAUCCUGUCAAAGUGGUUAAAUCGGAUGAAAUCCGACGGCAUCUUGAGUUAGCACGACUAAGGCAUGAGUGUCGCGUCUAAAGCGACUUAACCAUGUUUUAAUCAAGCUAAUCCGAGGUGGUUCCGCCACAUUCAUCCUUUGCCAUUUCAUGAUCCCUGGCUUGUAACCUCCUAUCCCAAGACAAUGAAAGUUUGCUUCUUGUAAGCAUUGUCGGUGUUGGUCUGAGUUUGCAACUGGCUCUUUUCCGACUGAUUGAAUUGUACAAAGGAAUCCCAGUGAACCCUUAACUUCGAGUGCUUAUUGAAAUAAGGUGUAAGCCCCUUCUUUGUGUACUCUUUGUUCAAGUUUUUCUUGUACGUCUGAAAAGCAAUUGCAGCCUUCUUGAAGCCCCAUUAUUUCACUUUGUCUUCCUCUACAUCUUCGAAUGUGAAGUUAUCUUUUAAUUGUUGCCAUAACAUAUUCUUCUCUCGGUCAGGUACGUAAAGGACCGUGCUUGUGGGGACCGGAACCAUGCUUGUGUUGGAGGUAUGCCCUAGAGGCAAUCAUAGAGAUGAUGAUAUUCCAUUUGUAUCCAUGAUUUAUAUUGUGUUCCUUGAAUAUCCAUUAAAGACUACUCAAAUUGAUUUGCAAUUAUGUAAAUUGUGUGUGAAACUCUUUACUUGUAUGGUUAUUCUAAAGUUGUCCCUAGUCGGAGUUCAUGUGAGGACACACAUGAAUAUUAGACUAGCACAUGUAUUAGUUGAUGAUUAUGUAUCACAAGUCAUGGACAUGGAGAUGUUGAACUAAUAAUGUGGGCACAUGUGGAGACAUGUGCUAGGACUGACCCAACAUGAGAAGUAGUUCUCUCUUUAAACAACAUAUACGCUUUGUCCUUAGACCUGAGAUUGUCGCAUGUAUUCAAGAUGUGGAUCGACCUACUUAGGGGCUAUCAAACGCUACGCUGUAACAGGGUAGUUAUAAAGGUAGCUUUCAGGUUUGUCAAGAAGCAUGCUAUGAGACAUGGUCAAUCAAGAUGGGAUUUGCCCCUCUCUGAUUGAGAGUGAUAUCUCUGGGCCCCUCGAGUGAUCAGAUCCGAAAAUGCAUGGUCAUGCUACGUACGGUUAAGAGUUAACCUACAAAGGGAUUCCGAAUCAUAGGAUCGAGAAAGAGCGAUCGGCUUGAAGCUAGACCAAAUCUCGUGAGGCAAAGAGAAUAGCAUGUAUAUAAUGUUGUGAUGGUUCGUCUGAUAUGAUCUUCGUGUGCAUAUAGGAGUUGGCACGUCUUGCUAGAGGCUGCUACCGACUAUUGGGCCGAGUAGGAGUACUCGGGCCAUGUCUAUACGUAUCUGAACCCAUAGGGUCACAGACUUAAGGGGCUGGAAGCCCAAUUCGGAUGUGAUCCGAGUUGGAUUAGGUUUAGAAGUACUAAUGGGCCACGGACCCAGAGGCCCGUUAGGAACCUCUAUAAAUAGAGGGGUGGGGGCGCCCUAGGGUACACACCUUUUUGGCGAAACACAUCUGCUGCACCUCCCACGCCCUCACUUGUUGUAACUCACGGAUCUAGCAGUCCGGCUUGCGACGCUUCCUCCCUGCACAUGUGGAUACCUUGGAGGUGUUGCGCCUGCAGCACUUGCAUGAGUCGCCGACGAGCCACGACGAGCCACGACGAGCCGACAACGAGCCACGACGAGUCGACGAUGAGCCGCGGCACGAGGGCGAUCUUCCUGCACGUGGACGAGCUGCUGAGGAGCUGUUGGACGUCGACGUGAUCGACUACGUACGACUACGCUGAUUGACUUUGCUGCAUCGAUGCGAAUCUACAACUUCUACACCAGUGCGUCGAGUGGUAAUCCCAUGAUCCUUAUACGGCAGUUUUCCUGUUUUACGCGGUAGAAAAUUUUGAUUUGCGCUAGUGUAGCCUACCUCGUAUCCCUACAGUGGUAUCAGAGUUGUAGCUGUUUAGUUUUGGAUUCGGAAUGUGUGCAUAUGGAGAUAUGCGAUUUUUCAAUUUGAUCUAUGUCCUGGUUUCGUGUUCUUGCUGCAAUGGUAGUGUAACGACAUACUCCUACCGGUUGGGUUUCCGCCAUCGGAGUUAAGUGAUACACGUAAUUCCAGUUGCAGUGAGCGAAGAUCAAUGUGAUUGGUCCAAUUGAAAUCCAGGUUCAUACGCUAGGCGCAUGAGAUGUGCAAUAGUAGAUGGGAUCUACUACCGGGGUCGGGAUUUUGCCGUGUGCGUAUGCUUCGGUAAAUCAGCCAUAACUUUUCGGUACGAUCUCAGAUCGGGGCGAAUUUUAUAUGAAAAUUGAUCUAAAGAAAAAGUUACACAUGAAAUUCAAUGGUUUUGCCAUUUUUGGCAAAAUUAGAUUUCCCACAUUCGGCUUGGAAGAUGGAGUUUCGGGCCUCCGAAGUUUGGAACGUUAGGACGCUUAACUCUAUUUUGCAGGAUGUAUGUAUCUUAUGAUCAGUAUGACCCCUUUGUGUAUGUGAUGCAUGUGUGUAACUCAUUCGUGACCUGCGUGUCGCGCAUACGGCAACACGGCAGGAGCCAUAUGUGUUGUCACUUUAAUGUAUUUAAUGGUCUGCGUAUCAAUCUGUGAUGAUCCAAGCAACUAUGUAAUCUUCAUUACUAGCUUUUUUACUAGCUAUUAGGCGUAAUAGCAUGUUCUAGUUCUUGGAGGACUCAUCACUAGGAGGAUGGCGCACAUGGAACAUGGAGAUGGAGAUCACCAUAAGAAAACGGGCCAUACUGUGUCACAACUGUGUGAAUGCUAUUCUGUUUAUGUUUUACUUUCUGCAUGCUGUGAUGUUAGAAGUAGAACGAUCCCUCGUAAAGUUUAAGUUAGUAUGCCCUCCCAACUAAAACUUGCACCGUCCCAUAUCUUGUACAAUUAGUGGUGGGUCUAUGAAAUUAGGGUGCCACUAGUUUUCCUUGAUUAGACGGGUUUGUGUCGGACACUUACACGCAUAAGGGUUGGUUUGCUUAACAAGGUUAACUUAACGGUUAAGGACCUUGGGGCAUAAAGGUUGGGCGCCGAGAUAGGGAGAUGUCACCCAACAACAGGAGUCAUAUGUGAUAUGAUUAGCAAAAGUUGCUUACCGAUCUACCUUGUUUGCUAGCGGUGAUGCUAAAGCUCACUAGUAGACUUGUUAGUUGUGGAUCCUGAAUCACUAAGUAUCAAUAGAGGGAUAUUGAUUUUAGUGGGAGUAGAUUCUGUUAAAAUAGUUUAAUAUGAUUUGCUCUAUCAUGGAUACGUUUGUCUUAGUGUAUUUUUCAUUACUUUUGUUGUAGAUUAAAUGGCACCUAGUGGCACUACACCGUUUGCUUUGCGUUCGGUCCUUGAGAAGGACAAGUUGAAUGGAACAAAUUACUCAGAUUGGAUCCGUAACCUAAGAAUUGUUCUCAGGGCGGAGAAAAAGGAAGAUGUUCUAGACAACCCACUACUAGAAGAACCUGCUGAUGAUGCACCUGCUGCUACUAAGAAUGCUUACAAGAAAGCAUGUGAUGCUAACCUCGAAGUAAGCUUGCAUGGAACCUGAGCUGCAGAUGCAGUUCGAAGCAAACCAUGAGCCGCACGAUAUGAUCAUGGCGCUUAGAGACAUGUUCCAAACACAGGCCACGACUGGAAGGUUCAAUGUGUCUAAGGCCUUUGUGGAGAGCAAGCUAGCAGAAGGCACAGCAGUAGGACCACACAUAAUCAAGAUGGUUGGUUACACUCAACAGUUGGAGAAGAAGGGCUAUCCUUGGAAGAAGAAGGGCAAGGCUGGAACGUCCAAGCCAAACCUAGCGCCCAAGGUUAAAGCUGGACCUGGACCUGCUCCAGACAAAGAGUGCUUUUACUGUUAUGAACUUUGUCACUGGAAGAAAAAUUGCAAGCACUACCUAGCUUCAUUGAAAAAUGGCGGAAGUAAGAGUACUUCCACCUCAGGUACGCUUGUUAUUAAUGUUAUAGACAGCAUAUUUCUUGCUGAUACAAUUGUUAAUUCUUGGGUAUUUGAUACCAGAUCGGUUGCUCAUAUUUGCAAUUCGAGUUGCUUGUUGAUUUCCGCGUGGGCAAUAAUGCAAGAGUUGCUGCGUUGACCGUCGGGACGAUGCAACUCCACCUCCCGUCAGGAUUUAUUAUGGAGUUGAAUAAUUGUUAUUUCGUUCCUAGUUUAAGUCGAAACAUUUUGUCUCCUUCAUGCUUGAUGAAGGAUGGUUAUUCAUUUGCAAGUGAAAACAAUGGUUGUGUGAUCUCUAAGAAUGAUAUGUUUAUGGCUUUUGCACCCAUUGUGAAUGGAUUGUUUGUUUUAAAUCUUGAUGGUUCACCUGUCUGUAAUGUAAGUGCUAAAAGGCCUCGGCCUAAUGAUUUGAGUCCUACCUACUUGUGGCAUUGUGGUUUGGGUCAUAUAAGUGAAAAACGCAUGAAGAAGCUCCAUUCUGAUGGACUCCUAACUUCGUUUGAUUUUGAAUCAUACGAGACAUGUGAGGCUUGCUUGCUAGGCAAGAUGACCAAGACGCCUUUCACAGGAUUUCCUAAGAGAGCAGUAGACUUGUUGGAACUCGUACAUAGCGAUGUAUACGAACCAAUGAGCACGACGGCUAGAGGAGGAUUCCAAUACUUCAUAACUUUCACUGAUGAUUUUAGUAGAUAUGGCUAUGUCUACUUGAUGAGGCACAAAUCUGAAACCUUUGAAAAGUUCAAGGAAUUUCAGAAUGAAGUUGAAAAUCAGUGUGGCAAGAAAAUUAAGGCCUUACGAUCUGAUCGUGGAGGCAAGUAUUUGAGCCACGAGUUUAGCAAUCAUCAAAAGAGUUGUGGAAUUGUUCCACAACUUACGCCGCUUGGAACACCUCAGAGAAACGGUGUAUCCGAGGGACGUAAUUGAACUUUGUUAGACAUGGUUCGAUCAAUGAUGAGCCAGUCGGACCUACCAUUGUCAUUUUGGGGAUACGCUCUAGAAAUAGCAGCUUUCACAGUUAAUAGGGUACCAUCUAAAUCCGUAGUUAAGACACCAUAUGAGAUGUGGACUGGAAAGGUUCCCAGUUUGUCUUUUCUAAAGAUUUGGGGAUGUGAAGUGUUUGUCAAGCGACUUCAGUCGGACAAGAUCACACCCAAGUCAGAUAAGUGCAUUUUCGUGGGAUAUCCAAAGGAAACUUUGGGAUAUUAUUUCUACAACCGGUCAGAGGGCAAAGUGUUUGUCGCACGGAACGGGGUUUUCCUAGAGAAAGAGUUUCUCAAAGGAGAAAAUAGUGGAAAGACAGUGCAUCUUGAAGAAGUUCAAGAUGAGCCGGUCAAGCAAGAAUCAAUUAGUGACGCUAACGUAGCAGAACAAGUUGAGAUACCCAUGGCAAGAGAAGCACCGCCACAACCACAAAGGUCGGCAAGGCUCUGCGAAAUACGAGAAAUAUUAUUGUUGGACAAUGAUGAGCCUGCGACAAAGGUAUGCAAGCUUCAAAGAUCCAUUUAUGGAUUGAAGCAAGCAUCUAGGAGUUGGAACGUUCGUUUUGAUGAAGUGGUCAAAGGGUUUGACUUCACCAAGAACGAAGAAGAGUCUUGUGUUUACAAGAAGGUUAGUGGGAGCUCUGUAGUAUUUCUAAUCUUAUAUGUGGAUGACAUAUUGCUGAUUGGAAAUAACAUUCCUAUGGUUGAGUCCGUAAAAACUUCACUGAAAAAUAGUUUUUCGAUGAAGGACUUAGGGGAAGCGGCAUAUAUUCUGAGCAUUAAGAUCUACAGAGAUAGAUUGAGAAGGCUUAUAGGAUUAAGCCAAGAUACUUACAUUGACAAAGUGUUGAGGCGGUUCAGUAUGGAAGAGGCAAAGAAAGGGUUCUUGCCUAUGUCACAUGGCAUACAUCUCAGCAAGACUCAGUGUCCUUCGACUGCUGAUGAGUGGGAUCGCAUGAGUAGAGUGCCAUAUGCCUCGGCUAUUGGAUGUAUCAUGUAUGCAAUGAUAAGUAAUCACCCAGAUGUUUCAUAUGCGCUAAGUAUGACAAGCAGACACCAGUCUGAUCCAGGUGAGAGUCACUGGACAGCGGUGAAAAACAUUCUUAAGGACUUGAGAAGGACUAAAGAUAUGUUCCUCGUCUAUGGAGGUGAGGAGGAGCUCGUUGUAACAGGUUACACCGAUGCUAGUUUCCAAACCGACAGAGAUGAUUCAAAGUCACAAUCAGGAUUUCUGUUCACGCUAAAUGGUGGUGCUGUUAGUUGGAAGAGUUCCAAGCAGGAGACAGUGGCCGAUUCUACGAUAGAAGCCGAGUACAUCGCGGCUUCAGAAGCCGAGAAGGAGGGUGUUUGGAUAAGGAAUUUCCUCAUUGAGCUUGGUGUGUUCCCGAAUGCGUCCAACCCAUUGAAUCUCUACUGUGAUAACAAUGGGGCAAUUGCGCAAGCAAAGGAGCCAAGGAACCACCAGAAGAACAAACACGUAAUGCGGUGAUUUCAUCUCAUUCGAGACUUCGUUAACCGGGGUGAGAUCAAGAUAUGCAAAAUACACACGGAUCUGAACAUUUCUGAUCCGUUGACAAAACCACUCCCGUAGGCUAAGCAUGAUGCGCAUGUAAGAGCUAUGGGUAUUAGGUACCUUCUAGAUUGACUAUAGUGCAAGUGGGAGACUGUUGGAGGUAUGCCCUAGAGGUAAUCAUAGAGAUGAUGAUAUUCCAUUUGUAUCCAUGAUUUAUAUUGUGUUCCUUGAAUAUCCAUUAAAGGCUACUCAAAUUGAUUUGCAAUUAUGUGAAUUGUGUGUGAAACUCUUUACUUGUAUGGUUAUUCUAAAGUUGUCCCUAGUCGGAGUUCAUGUGUGGACACACAUGAAUAUUAGACUAGCACAUUAGUUGAUGACUAUGUAUCACAAGUCAUGGACAUGGAGAUGUUGAACUAAUAAUGUUGGCACAUGUGGAGACAUGUGCUAGGACUGACCCAACAUGAGAAGUAGUUCUCUAUUUAAACAACAUAUACGCUUUGUCCUUAGACCUGAGAUUGUCGCAUGUAUUCAAGAUGUGGAUCGACCUACUUAGGGGCUAUCAAAUGCUACGCCGUAACAGGGUAGUUAUAAAGGUAGCUUUCGGGUUUGUCAAGAAGCAUGCUAUGAGACAUGGUCAAUCAAGAUGGGAUUUGCCCCUCUCUUAUUGAGAGUGAUAUCUCUGGGCCCCUCGAGUGAUCAGAUCCGAAAAUUCAUGGCCAUGCUACGUACAGUUAAGAGUUAACCUACAAAGGGAUUCCGAAUCACAGGAUCAAGAAAGAGCGGUCGGCUUGAAGCUAGACCAAAUAUCGUGAGGCAAAGGGAAUAGCAUGUAUAUAUUGUUGUGAUGGUUCAUCUGAUAUGAUCUUCGUGUGCAUAUAGGAGUUGGCACGUCUUGCUAGAGGCCGCUACCGACUAUUGGGCCGAGUAGGAGUACUCGGGCCAUGUCUAUACGUAUCCGAACCCAUAGGGUCACACACUUAAGGGGCUGGAAACCCAAUUCGGAUGUGAUCCAAGUUGGAUUAGGUUUAGAAGUACUAAUGGGCCUCGAACCCAGAGGCCCGUUAGGAACCUCUAUAAAUAGAGGGGUGGGGGCGCCCUAGGGUACACACCUUUUUGGCGAAACACAUCUGCCGCGCCUCCCACGCCCUCGCCUAUUGCAACUCACAGAUCUAGCAGUCCGGCUUGCGACGCUUCCUCCCUGCACGUGUGGAUACCUUGGAGGUGUUGCACCUGUAGCACUUGGAUGAGUCGUCGACGAGCCACGACAAGCCGCCGAUGAGCCACGACGAGCCGACAACGAGCCACGACGAGUCGACGACGAGCCGUGGCAUGAGGGCGAUCUUGCUGCACAUGGACGAGCUGCUGAGUAGCUGCUGGACGUUGACGUGAUCGACUACGUACGACUACGCUGAUCGACUUCGCUGCAUCAACGCGAAUCUACAACUUCCGCACCAGUGCGUCGAGUGGUAAUCCCAUGAUCCUUAUACGGCAGUUUUCCUAUUUUACGCGGUAGAAAAUUUUGAUUUGCGCUAGUGUAGCCUACCUCGUAUCUCUACAGCUUGUUGAAGCUUAUUUGUUAGGUUUUUUCCAAUUCUGAAUGCUGAUUGGGAUCUUAUCUCUGACAAGAAAUCCAAUCUCAUUCACCAAUUUUGUCAUAGCAUUGGCAGGAGUAAUCGGUUCACCAUCUUCAGCAAUUUCUGUGAUGAUGAUACGGCCCUCUAACUUCUUGUUCUUGCCUCAUUUUUUUUGAGGUCUGCUGCUCGAUCCAGAUGGCUAAAAAAUGACAAUUUGUUGCAUGAUGAUGUUUCUUUUAAUAAGAAGAGAAUUCAAAUAAUGUUUACCUAUAAUAAUUGUUAUACCUCGCCUUGUUGCCCAUCAUUGCCUCCCUCGGCAAUUUGUUGCUCCUCAUUGCCUCCCUUGGCAAUUGGUUGCUCCUUGUUACCAUCACCAGCCAUGUUGAGGUUGAUGUCAGCUUGGCUGUGAUCGAUCUCUUCAUUUGGUUGAUCGUUUGUGCUGCCUUCAGCAAUCAACUGAAAUAUGAGCUCCUCUGCUGUUCGGGCAUCAUGCUCAUCCUCCGAUCGUGCUAUUGUAACUAGUAUAAUAUAAAAGGAUUUAUUCUAAGAAAUAGUAGGCAACAACAUUAAAAAGAAUGACUACAAAAAGAAUUAAACACUUAUACAAUUUGUAACAAUAAUAAAUAACUAAAAAAAGGAUGAUACACUUAUACAACUUGGUGAAAAAAGAAUGACUAUUAUAAUUUAUAAAAGUAUCACAGUAAUUUUCACUUAUUUCUAGACAUUCUAACAAUUAAUAGAAUUUUGUAACAUGGCAUGUUGAACAAUUUACAAUCAAUAAGCUUUUCCAACAAUUUUUAUAUAAUUUCAAACUAAUUCAAGAUUUUUUCUAUAUUCUCUAGCUAAUUCAACAUUUUUCCUACAAUUUCUAGUUAAUUCAUAUAUUGCAAAAAUAAAAAAGAAUUGAUAACAAAAAUAGAAUGAAACACUUCUACAAUAAAAAAAGAAUUGAUAACAAAAAUAGAAUGAAAUACUUCUACAAUAAUUACAGUAAAUUGCUAGAAAAUAACAACAUCAUAACAAGAUUUUCACAUUUUUUAUUAAUAUUUAAGAAUUAAUAGGAUUUUCUAUAAUUUCUAGCUACUUCAAGAAUGUUUCUCUAUUUUCUAGCUACUUAAACAAUUCUCUAAUACUGCAGAAAUAAAGAAAUAAAUGGCAUGAUUUCCAACACCUACACAAAUUUCCUACAAUUUCUAGAUAAUCUUCUACAAUUUCUAGAUAAUUUCUACAAAUUUCCUACAAUUUCUAAUGCUACAGGAAUAAAAAAAAGAUGACAUCACGGCCGGCCGCGGGGUUACGUCAGUGGGGAGCAAGCCCGCGGCCGGCCGCAAGUGUGCGUUCGUGCGCGGAAGGCUAGGGGGUGCGUGUGGAGGCCAGGGCGCCGGGGAUGGGGGCGGCGCGGACGGGGGCGGCGCGGACGGAGGCGGUCAGGCGGCGCGAUCGCAGCGGCUCAGACGGAGGUGGCCGGUGACGUACGGCACGGGGCACGCAGUCGGGGUGGCGCGGUCGGAGAGGCGGUGACGUAUGAGGCGCGUGGAGGCCGGGGACAGAGGCUGGGGUGGCGGCGGUGCGGUGGAGGCGGUGCGGUCGGGGCAGAGGCGACGAGGCCGAGGGUCGGGGUUGACGGGGCCGGCUGGGGCGAUAAGAAUGGCAGGGGUGAUGGAGGCGUGGUGGCCAUGGGGCUGGGGACGGCAGCAACGGGAAUGGCGGCGGUGACAAGGGGGCGAUGAGGCAAGACGGUGACUAGGGCGCGACGCUGAUGGAUGAGGUGACAAGCACGGAGGCGGCGGCGGUGGAUCAAGGCGAUGAGCACCAAUGCGUGAAAUGGCUAAGUAUUUAGGGAAAAGAAGGUGAGGCGGCUUUAACCCCCCUAGUACCGGGCAAGAAAAAUACCCGGUACUAGAACCCCUUUAGUACCGGGUGCUGGGCACAACCGGUACUAGAGGGGGGCCUUUAGUACUGGGUGUUCCCACCACCUGGUACUAAAGGACCCCUGCGCGUGCGAAAUGAAAAAUGGCGCCCUUUAGUACCAGGUGUUCCGACCACCCAAUACUAAAGGCGUUGCAUUGUCCUGUUUGAAUUUUCUACCCAUCUUUUUAUUUUUCUAUGACAGCCCGAGUAAUUAAGAACCUAAAUUAAAUAAUCAACAGGGUGAUUAAGAAGCAAAUCAAAACUAACUCCAAAUUGUUGAGAGUUAAGAUAAAAAACACCUUAGAUUUUGACGAGGGUUAAAACUCCUUUCUAUUGAUAAUCACUAGUGAGGCUAAUAAAAAUAAAUUUUAUAUAAGAACUAAAUUUUGGCCAAUACAAAAGUGAUAGACCUUUUCAAAUGGAGCAACUUUAAAAAUAUGCACUUUCUUGAUUUGGAAGUGGAAAGACUCCAAAAACUGAGUAGAAGUUUGGUCAAAUUUCAAGUCAAAUCCAAAAAUAGCUUUGACCGGCGUCCGCCAAAUUUCCCACAAUCCUAGUUCCAAAUCCAUCAAGUUCCUCAUAUAUCGGCCUUUAUAAAAGGUAUAAUCCACACCUUAAACUCCAACUUUUAUUUUUGGGAAUGCAAGCACAAAGUUCAAACUUGGUGAGAAAAUACAUGUUAAACCCGACACCUUUGCACGACAUGCAUCACAAGCAUCUUUGAGCAUCAUGAACAUCCUUUUGCACAUAAUUGAACCUCAUGAGCAUCAUUUGUGCACAUUGGAGCAUUGUAACCAUGCAUUGUUUAAGUGCCCAGAAAUUGAUUGUUUACUGUUGAAAAAAAAAAUUUAUGAAGCAACCCCAAUUUCCUUUAUACAACUGUGCCUCCUAUUAUUUUAGUUAAAUACUAGAUACACUUUAGUGAUUUUACAAUAUUUUUAAUAAAUUUUUUAGAAGUGUUUGCUUGUGCUAAAAAUUCAUUUAAAGUUCAAUUUUGGCUAUUUUGUUUUGUCGAUUGCAUGAAAACCAUAAUAGCUUUUGAGUUGAUUCAUGUUGAAUUGUAUUCUUUGUGAUUUAUCUUUCCAACAAAUAUUUUUGGGAAAUUUUUGGACAAGUGUAGCUGGUUCAAAUAAGGAGAGAAAGUGGUAGUAGUGAAAAAUCUCAUGGGCCCACACGUCAAUCACCAGGUUCCCCUUUCUUCCUCCUCUCUCCACCACACGCACGCCAGAUGGCCGGCACGGACACUGAAGAUCACCGAUUGGCCACCUUCAAUAUGCUAGCAGGGCUUCCCAUCGCCGGUUGGUUGCCCGAGCAUCGCCCACGUGCUUCCCCCGCCGUGCCACGCCUCUCCUCGCGCUCGGUUGGGUAGGAGCCGGACCGAACGGCAUGGGCACCAGGUGGCCAUCGAACUCCGGCAUCGCCCCUUACUACCAAUGCUGAGCAGCGACGCCGUGGUGUUCUUAUCGUCUUGCCCAUCCUUAUCUUCUCAUGCCCCAGCCCUUAAAUCAGCCCUCUCCCAAGCCUCCUUCCCCUCCUUUGCCUUGCAACAGAAACUUUCCCCAUUGCCGAGCUCCCCAACAUGUCCCUAUUCUCUGAUGAAAUCCACCCAACUCCAGCCACCUCCCUUCAAUAGCUCGUGCCCAAAGCUACUCCACUUCCUUGGCUUCGCCCUCCACCACUUCUCAUCCACAGAAUCGACGGGAAUCGAAGUUCCCCAAAACUUCUAGGAAAUUUUCACCCGCCACCACUGCCUCUCCAUGGCGCCCCAUCUCCCAGCUGCCGUCAUCCUCAUCUAAUGCCUCAAACGGAACCGCGGUGAGCCCCUAAUCGUGAUGCUUGUGUUUGUUUUGUUUGUUGGGUGACUUUCCACGCUCAUUCCCGGCAACGUCACCGGGCGUUCGCUGUCGAUCGUGGAGCACCUGUUGCUCCAGGGAGUCCCCUGGCCCUGGGCAUGGCGUCGCCGCCCCUCCUCCUCGCGCCCUGCUACGUUUCCCCCUAUCCCGAGCCACGCUAGUGCGCCCGUGCCCAAACCGUGCAUGCCUCUUAUCUGUUUAGGGGUGCAGGGACUUGAUUGGAGAAGAAGGAGAAGUUCCACGGGGUGUUGCAUAAAAAGUUAGUAUUUAUGUGUGAGGUGGAAUCCGUUCAGGGGCUAGAGUGUGAAACGUAGAGGGUAGAUGGUUAAGAGAAGGGUAGAUCUGAGAAAGGAAUUGUUUUUCCAGGGGGUAGCUUGCAAAGUUGCUAGGUUUUGUUUUGUUUGCUAAAGUAAAAAAAUUGCAAACUUUGAAAAUGCAUAGAAAACUGUAGGAAAUUGCUAAAAAUGUGAUUCUUAUUUUGGAUUCCUUGUAGUGUCUAGUUUAUUUCAAAAAUGAUUUUGUGCACACUGCUAUUUUAUAUUUUGUGCUAUGAUUUAUUUUGUGUGAAAGCCUUUAAAUGCUUUAUAAAUCACAUAGUGCUCUAAAAAUUGUGGAAUCACUUUUGUUAGUUUCCUUGUAACAUGCAUGUUCAGACAUACAACUUGUGUGAGUAGAAUUUGUAGUGUUCCUACUGUUUUAGAUUUAAAUGCUUACUUGCUAUGUUAAUCUAGUUAUUUGCAUAAUAAAUAGUGGAAAAGUGAUAAAAUGAUGAAACCAUCACUAUUAGUCUUUGUGUUCCACAUAGAAUCUAGGAAAAAUGAUACUAAAAAUUUUAUGGUUGAUUUGCAAACCUUUUUAGAUUUAAUGUGCUUAAUGGUAGUUUAACUUGUUUAACUCAUAUUUCCACAUUAAAAAUUGAUUUUGGGGUGAAUCCAAGUCUCAUGAUUUUGUGUUGAUUGUCUUCUGUUGAUACCAUGACUAUUUCUCAACAGAUAAUUUUAAUCUUGCAAUUUCGUGGUUACUUUUGACUUAUCAUGCAAACUAGUUUUUUUCGUCCUCUUGUAUGACCUUGUACUAUUUAGCUAGUGUCGGGGGGACAUAUUAAUGCCUUCCUUAUAUUCCUUAAACGACGGUCAUAAGGGCCUGGGCCCAUCUCCCGCAACAAUGAUCUCUGCCUCGCCCGACCCCCCCGAGGCCGCUCCUCAUCCCAGCCGAGAGUAUUUCGCCUCGCCCGACCCCUCGUCGUAAGGCUCCACCUCGCCCGACCCCGGGCGCAAGGGGUCGGACGCGCCCGAUCCCUCAUCGCCUAACCCCGAGGGCUAAGGGUUGGACAUAUCCGGACCCACAGGGCAGAGCUUCACCUCGCCCAAGGACGUGCGUGGACUAGCAGAUGAGGGCGCAGGUCUUGUGGGCCCCCACCGAUCUCGCCAUAAAUGCAACCGAUGGGACGCCCAUGUCCAGAAUACGGCUCUGACACAUGGAGAGGCGCCCGCGUUCCUCGAUGUGACCCACCCGAGUUUUCGGGCGGCGCACUGCUGCCACGACUGCACAGGGCUACAGCUGCACCAUCCUAACCCUCCCCUGUGAUAUUCGUCAUAGGAUACUCAUCGCCCAUGCUGGCUAACGAAGGAGGGUGCGCCGUCCGGUUUCCUGCUCGUCCUGGCGGUAGGGGCAUGUCAGUCGCGCCCCCCGGUCGGCAUGCGUGGCUACAGUGGUCACCCGUCAUUCGCGACAUGCACGGCUAUGGUGGCCAGUCAUCAUCAUCAACUCGCACAGCUACAGUGGUCGGUCACCAUGCACGUCUCACGUGUUCGACUGAAGUGGCCGACCGCUGGGUCAUCGAUGGGACCCAACGGCAACCACCCCUCCUUGGUGGCCAUGCUAACGAGACGCACAAAUCAGAAGGGAAGGCAGCAACCCCGGUGGCUCGGCCCAUCUCCCUGUGCUUUGCCUUCCUUUCUUACCUUUCUACCUUUUUAAUUUCCUUACGCCCGGCUCAUUUGUAACCCCUGUAUCCUCAUUGCACUAUAAAAGGAGACCAGGGGGCCUGACGGCUCUUGAGCGAACCGAACGACCCCCAAUUCACAACCCUUCCACACGAGCAUCAGUACACACCCACAGAGACUUGGGACCAGCUUCCCUCUCUCACCCGUUUGUAACCCCUACUACAAACUUGGCACGAGUAACACUAGCAGCCUCCAACACUGGACGUAGGGCUAUUCCUGCCUGAACCAGUAUAAAUUUUGUGUCCUCUCGAGCAACCAUCCAGGCCUUACACGCAUAGAAAACAAAUUUACUUGCCAGAGUCUUGACCCGUGAUUCUUGACACCGACAAUUGGCGCGCUAGGUAGGGGGCCUUUGCACGUAUGACGAUCAUCACCGGCUUCGGAUGGCCAACCACAACAUCGACUUCGCUCUCGGCUUCCACAUCCGCUUCAAGAGCCUGGACUUCCUCACCACGGGAGAGGGAAUCGAGCUGAUUCCUCUCCUCGUCCUGCCCGCUCACCCCAUCACCUCCAGCUCCGCCGCCUGAACAGUGGUAAGCGGCUAGGCGCGCACCACGGGGCCUCCUUCGGAGGAGUGGCCCUUUGGCCUACGCAACGCCGCAAUGACUUAUGGUCGUAUCUUGGCACGAUCCAUGAUCGUGCCACCCGCGAACAAUGAGUUCGUGGGCGUAAUGGAAAUGGCCUCCGACGCUGGUUCCGACAACGGGAGCCACCACCCCUCGCGUGAGUGGUUCAUGGCCGACGUGCACUGCGUGGGGUCCAAUGACGAUGGCGGCGAAGGGAGGCAAUGCACUCCCCCACCACGCACUGCAGCUACAGCCGGAGCCCUCGCCAGGGUCCCAGAGAAGCCUUGGCUGCCGGAGGCGUGCGCGGUGCCCAAUCAGGAGGCCGAGCACCCCCGCAAUGAAGGUGGGGCGUGUCAACGGGCACGCGACGUCCAACGGCACAUCCGAAGGACAAGGAACGUCCUCAACUCUUCGCACGCGCCAGCUAGAACAUUGCUGCCACAGCGGCCCUACUCCGACGACUCCCCAAGCCAGCGAUGCCAGAGGAGCGACAGGCCCACCAAGAGGUGCGCAACCUGCUUGAGUGCGCCGCAGUCCAGUAGAUGGUGAGCUUCGCGUCCCAGCGACGCGGGCACAACGCCAGCAGGGCAGCGCCCACCGCGCCUCCUGAAAGGUGUUGGGAGUCUAUCCACCAGCCUCCCCCCGGGGGGAACCGGGCCGCGCCCGCUCGACGGCCCCCACCGUCUGCAGGUGGCGGAGCCCCAUCUGUCCACCGGCGCGUUGGUCCCGUCCGCGACGCUCAUGACACCCUGGAUGCGCGGAGGCGCUCCCGCGCAGACAGGGAGGAUGGAGCCGACCGCGGCUACCACGUACACCGUGGUGGCCGCUACGACAGUGAAGAAGAUCGGAACCCGAGCCCUGACCCAGCGGGGCCCAGGGCCUUCUCCGCACGCAUCCUGAACGCACCGUUCCCGGCAUGUUUCAGGCAGCCCACCAACAUGGCCAAGUACUCCGGGGAGACAAACUCAGGGCUUUGGCUCAGGGACUACUGGCUUGCUUGUCAGGCCGAUGGGGCGGAUGACGACCUGUUCAUCAUCCGCAACCUCCCUCUGUUCUUAGCCAACUCAGUGCGAGCUAGGAUGGAACACCUUCCGUCAGGUCGGAUCCGGAACUGGAAUGACCUAAAGGAAAUCUUUGUAGGGAACUUCGAGGGCACGUACGUGCACCCCGGAAACUCCUGGGACCUCCGGAGCUGCCGCCAGAGGUCGGAUGAGUCCCUCCAAGACUACAUCCGACGCUUCUCCAGGAAGCGCACCGAGCUCUCCAAUGUCGUCGAUACCGACAUCAUCAGAGCCUUCCUUGCGGGAACCUCCUGCAGGCCCCUGGUCCACAAACUGGGACAUAUGGGCCCAUGGACCACCGAGGAGCUCCUCAACAUCGCCACCAACUUCGCCUUGGGCGAGGAGGCCGUUGGGGCGAUCUUCGAUUGCUCCAAGGGCAAGGCGAAGCAGGAGGAGGACGCCGGCGAAGGCACCUCCAACCAUCAGAAGAAGAGGAAUAUCGAAUAGCUAAGUCGCUUUUACCUUUAGCUGUCAUUUCUAAGCGAUGUACAUGCCUCCACCAUUUCUGUUUGUGAAAAAAGGGGUGUUUUGAGUUGCUUUCGCUAAAGUUUUGUUCCAAGCUUAGGGAUAUCCGACCCUGGCUCUGCCCCAGGGUCGCAUAUUCCUCGGGGGCUGUCAAGGGCUCCAGCCCAAGACACUUGGCAUCCUCUCAAAACAUCACUUUUUCCAAACCGACCCUCUUCCUAAACGUUUGGACGCGAAAAGAGGAGUGCGCGAACGACGCUCAGGCAAGAUUGAUCGGACUGCGAGAAACCCACACCCCAGCGGCUACGGUGCCUUUGCUCAUCGGCGCUUCCCGACGCGCCUGACUCGCACUCUGAACUUUCGAAACCCAAAAAACAGAAAGAGGAUUGAAAACUUUUUCGAAAAAAUUGCAUAAACAAAGAGGCCUCUGUGGCCAUCACAAUGGCAAGUUCAGAGUUACUUAAUUCUUUACAUAUUUUUGGGCAUCUUUGCCCGAUACAGCUAACUCUCAUCACGGGUGCUCUAGCGGGAUGGCUUCGUCCUCCAAGAGCUACGCCAAGGCCUCUGCGGGAGCAAGCACCCACGCGUCAAUCUCGUCCAGCUCAGCCUCGGUAUAGCUUGAGGCGUACCCCCUGCUCAUCGCGUCGAAGUUGAGGCGGUUGUAGUAGGAUCCAAAGACGCCGAAGGCCCGCCUCACGCCAAUGUGGAGCACUUCAUGGGCGAUUUCGCGCGCCCACCGGUACGUCCCGAGGACACGAGCUGCCAGCAAGCUAGUCCCCUCCUCUUGGACCACCCCAAGGUCUUCGUAGAUGAUGCGGACGGCGUCCUGCAGGUUGGCAUGCUUGGUGCGCUCCGCAUCGGUGAUGUUCCUCAACCGUGCAAGGUCGCUCUCAUGACCUAUCCAAAAAAGCCCACAAAGUCAGAAACCAGCGCAACGCUGCAAACAAAGAAAAGAGGACAACGAAGUCCUUACCAUCAGAUUGGGCUCGUAGCAGACGUUCCUGGUCGACUCUUUGGGAUACAGCGGUCUGAAGACCCUGCACCUGCGACUGGAGCCGAUUGACCUCCUCGCUCAAGUCGGCCGCCAUCGUUUCGGCCCCAGCCUUCUGGCCCACCUCGCGAUCGCGAUCUCGGCUGGCCGUAUCAUGCUCCUGCUGAGCGGUGUGCCUCUCGUGCCGGAUGCACUCGACAGCCUUCUGAAGAGCUUCAUGCUCCUUCUUCAACCGGGCGAGCUCCUCGGCGUCACGACGGGCCUUCUCGGUGAUGACCCGGAGCUUGUCCUCCGCCCUUCACGCGCCUCCUUCUCCCGCGCUUCCAGGGCAGCGGCGUUCUGGUGUGCGGCGGCAAGCCACCCGGCCAGCUCCCCGCUCCGCCACUCCUCCCUGGAGAGGCGUUCCCAGACCCCCCGCUCACGCCGGAGGAACUCAGACUUCCCCCGGCUGCAGUCCUGAAGGGCCUGCAGAAUGAUUUGCGCUUAGAAAUCGUUUGAAAAAGGGACGGAAGAAGGAAAAAGAUAACCGCCAAAGAGAACACCAUACCUGGCUGGCGGGAGCGACGACGCCGUCCAACUUCCCCAUCGCGGAGGACAGGGCGGCACGGGCAUCUGCGAGCCUGCCCUGCACGUCCGACCAGCUCGCCGACAUCAUCCAAGACAAAGAGGGGCAUGUGCGGGUCUCCACUGGAGAACCAGCGCACGGUCGCCCCCCCCCCACGUGUUGGGGUCGUGUCCAACUUGGACGAGGGCGCCGGAAGACUCUCCGAUCGGUGCCAGCGGCUCGUUGACCGACGCCGACAGUCCUCCCGGAGUAGGCGCCGCCGUCUCCACCACCACCCUCGGAACAGGUGCCGCCGUCUUCGUCGCCGAUGCCGGGGCAGGCGCCACCAUCUCCGUCGCCGCCGCCGGGGCAUGCGCCACCGUCUCCACCACCACCGUUGUCACCACCGCCGUCGCCGGUGUCUCCACGAUCGGCGCCUCAGGCGUGGGCACCUCCCCCGCCGGCUCUUCCUCCUCCUCAAGGACUAUCACCUCGGUGUGCGGAGGAACCCCAAGGGCAGCAUCCUAUCCCACUGGGUCGGCUAUGGGGGCAGAAGAUGAGGCUUGGGCUGGCGCUUGCGCUACGCCCAACUGUGGCACCCCCUCUUCAGCUACCACCUUGGAGGCCGCCUCCACGCAGGGCACCACGGCCUCACCGACGACGCCGCCGCUCGCUCCCGGUGGGGUCACGGCUGGCCCCGCAGAAGUGGCCGACGAUCGGAGUGCCUUCUUUUGCGCCAGCAGCGGGUUGAAGCCACACGGAGCGGCACUGCAAAACAACGACGACUUCAUCAAACGCAAGAAUCAGCUCGACACCAGAAAAGAAUAAGGUACAUGGGAACUUUCCACUUACCUUGCUGCAGUACGAGGGCGGCAGGCGCGCUUCACCCCCGAGCUCAACGCCGACCCCGAGACAUCCGAUAGCGGCCGCUUGCCGCUACCCCUCUACUUGUGCAACGCAGGUAGAGGGUCGGGGGUCGGUCCCAUUGACUCCUAAGCAUGCCGCUCGCCGACCCUGAAGUGCAGCCUCCGAGCCCCGCGGGGUCGGGCCCUGGGCGGGCGGUUCACUCGACCUAUCCCUCGUGGCCGGUUGAGGAGGCUGGUCCCGGAUGACGAACGCAUCCGGCAUGAAGGCCGGGACAUAACCUUCCUCAUCCUCCUCCUCGGUCUCAUCUUCAUCAUCCUCAUCGUCAUCAUCGUCAUCGUUGUCCAUCCCGACCGCGCCCCUCCGCAGCCUUCAAAACUCCACCGCGGCUUUCUUCAUCUUCCUCGCCGUCUCCUUGUCUUUCCUUUUCUUCUAUGCUUCGGCAAGGAGGCGGUUCCGCUGCCUCUGCACCGCGUCCUCUGGCACCAGUGGACAGGAGGCUGCGACAUGGUUUAAGUUACCCUGCAGAUUCAAAGACUCCGUAUCAGAACAGCAAACCAGGAAAUGCAGGAAAGAAGAACGAGAGUGCGAAUUUCUCACCAGCAGGGCGUAGCCCUUGUCCGGGCGCAUCGGAGGGUGACCCAGCACCGGGAACACGACAUCCCUGUCGUCCAACGCGUCCUGGAUGCACUACUCGAUCUCGGCGUUGGCAAUCGCCCCCGUCACAAGGACGGUGCCAUCGGUCGUUGCCCCGGGAACCAUCUCGUCGAGCGAGCGGGCCCGCAGCAUCAAUGGCGCCACCCUCAGGGCGUGGUAUGCCCCAACAACUCCGGCCCCGAUCAGGCUCUCCUCCUUCAGACGAAUGAUGGCUUCAAGGAGACCCCGGAUAUUCUUCUUCUCCUUCUCAACAGGGCCAUACAUCCACGUUCCUGGUGCCUCCACGAUGACAUGGCCGGUGAACUCCAGCAAGGGGACGUCGGGACGGUUCUUCACAUAGAACCAUUGCUGAUGCCACCCCUUGUGGGACGACGAGGUCUUCAUCGACAUAUACUCGUUGGACCAGUGCCCGUGGAGGUGGAUGCCGGCGCACCCCAUCAGCACCGGAAUUGUCCGUGUCUGGUCUCCUCUCUUCUCGGUCCUCUGAUGAAGAGUGACCAUGAAGAAAUACUUCCAGAGGGCAAAGUUGGGCUCGAUCCCCAGGUAUCCCUCGCACAGCGCGACGAACGCCGUGAUGUGCUGGAUUCCGUUGGGGUUGAGGUGCUGCAGCUCGAUGCCAUGAUAGUACAACAGCCCCCGGAAGAAGCGACUCAAGGGAACCACGAACCCCCUCUCACGGAAGUGCGCGAAGGAGACGACAUACCCAUGCUCCGGUUGCGGCACGGCCUUGUUCCCGGAAUACUGUCACUCAUUCUCGACGGUCCUAUCAUGAAGAAGGCCCUUCUUCACAAGGCCAGUCGUGCGCGCGGUGUUGAAGGUUGACCGAGACCACGAAUCCAUCGCUGAGGAAGGGGAAGGCUUGACGGUGGUGGUGGAAAGGUGACUGCCCUGCUCGAAAAAGGACGAAAAGUGGACAAGGAGGCGAAAAAGGCUGAAGACGAACGCAGAUCGGAGCCAGUGAGGUAAGCUCUCUCAUUUUAUAGGGGGCGCGCGGGAAGCGAAAGGGCAAUCCGAUCACAGUUAUUGCGACACCAGGUACACCCGUCACCUCCGCUUUUUCGGAAACCGUGCGCACGAUCUCUUCCAACUGCAGGGAACGUCUCCCCUCCUCGUUUCGCGGGCCCGGUGUUUUCCACCGCUUCACCUCCCAGAGGAUGCACGCGCACGACUUCCUCCAGGUACGGCCCGGGGCCCACCAACAAGUAAAAAAGGGAUACGGAGCUGAAAACGCUCCUACGGUCCAGAGGUUCGAAGGCUGGCCCAACACAGGGUUCGACAGUCACCCCAGGACACUCCCGAGCAAGGGGUGAGAAGGGACGGCUCUGCUAGCGGCCACCACCCAGGCGAGCGAAAGCCAAGGGCGACCCGACCUCACGUUCGAGUCCGGUUUGCUGUUUAAGUUCAUGGUUUUUCCCUGAAGAAAGGCAAGGAGCCCCUGGAUCCCAUCGAACGGAUCCAGGAACUAUAUGAACUAGCCAUCCGGAAUCUGGAGUACGCCACCAGCUUGGCCUGAGUCGGACCCCCCCGAACGGGGACCAGGACUCCACUCAAACUAACCCAUUCAUAGCUCAACGGGCACCAUAGUUCGUCCAACGAGGAUAACGUGGCACGGCUCACCCCCUCCGUCCCAACGAACGGACGCUUGAGGGGUAACGAUCAAAAGUCGAUCCGACCUCUCGAUCGGUCCCCUGCAACGCACGGGGGCUGGAAUCGCAACCAACGACCACGCAUGUGGUCACAAUUUGGAGUCUUGGAGCAGGAGUGGUCGUCGGAACGAUAGGGAAUCUUCCCGAGCCGAGCCAUCCUCGGAACACCCUGCCUACCCAAACUCCCCGGCCAGGCGAAACGAGCGAAGCUUUUCCUCCUUAAUCACAUGCAGGUUGCAGGACAAACAAAGAUCCUUGACGAACAACAAACACAGCCUCUGGAGGAGCAUGUUUGCUCCACCAAUGGCUCGGGUGCUACUAUCGGGGAGAAAUAUUAACGACUUCCUUAUAUUCCUUAAACGACAGUCAUAAGGGCCCGAGCCCACCUCCAGCAAUAGUGACCUCCACCUUGCCCGACCCCCUGAGGCCACUCCUCAUCCCAGCCAAGAGAGUUCCGCCUCGCCCGACCCCUGGGCGAGAGUCCGACCCCUCACAGCAGGUCUCCACCUCACCCGACUCUGGGCGCAAGGGGUCGGACGCACCCGAUCCCUCGUCGCAAGUCUCCGCCUUGCCCGACCCCGGGCGCAAGGGGUCAGACGCGCUCAACCCCUUGUCGUAAGGCUCCACCUCGCCCGACCCCGGGCGCAAGGGGUCGGACGCGCCCGAUCCCUCAUCGCCCGACCCCGAGGGCUAAGGGUUGGACAUAUCCGGACCCACAGGAUAGAGCUUCGCCUCGCCCAAGGACAUGCGUGGACUAGCAGAUGAGGGCGCAGAUCUUGUGGGCCCCUACCGAUCUCGCCAUAAAUGCAACCGAUGGGACGCCCAUGUCCAGAAUACGGCUCUGACACAUGGAGAGGCGCCCACGUUCCUCGACGUGACCCACCCGAGUUUUCGAGCGGCGCACUGCUGCCACGACUGCACAGGGCUACAGCUGCACCAUCCUAACCCUCCCCUGUGACAUUCAUCAUAGGAUACUCAUCGCCCAUGCUGGCUAAUGAAGGAGGGUGCGCCGCCCGAUUUCCUGCUCGUCCUGGCGGUAGGGGCAUGUCAGUCGCACCCCCCGGUCAGCAUGCGGGGCUACAGUGGUCACCCAUCAUCCAUGACAUGCAUGGCUAUGGUGGCCAGUCAUCAUCAUCAACUCGCACAGCUACAGUGGUCGGUCACCAUGCACGUCUCACGUGUUCGACUGAAGUGGCCGACCGCUAGGUCAUCGAUGGGACCAAACGGCAACCACCCCUCCUCGGUGGCCAUGCUGACGAGACGCACAAAUCAAAAGGGAAGGCAGUAACCCUGGUGGCUCGGCCCAUCUCCCUAUGCUUUGCCUUCCUUUCUUACCUUUCUACCUUUUUACUUUCCUUACGCCCGGCUCAUUUGUAACCCCUGUAUCCUCGUUGCACUAUAAAAGGAGACCAGGGGGCCUGACGGCUCUCGAGUGAACCGAACGACCCCCAAUUCACAACCCUUCCACACGAGCAUCAGUACACACCCACAGAGACUUGGGACCAGCUUCCUUCUCUCGCCCAUUUGUAACCCCUACUACAAACUUGGCACGAGUAACACGAGCAGCCUCCCACACUGGACGUAGGGCUAUUCCUGCCCGAACCAGUAUAAAUUUUGUGUCCUCUCGUGCAACCAUCCAGGCCUUACGCGCAUAGAAAACAAAUUUACUUGCCGUGGUCUUGACCCGUGAUUCUUGACACCGACAGCUAGAUUGUAUUGUUAACAAUUGAAUUCAUGCUUGUUUAUUUUAUCGUACAAUUAGUUAUCUCUUCAUUGUUUGCAUGUUUGGGUAUGGUGUAUAGCUAGAUUCAGUAGCUUUGAAACUUGUUUUGUAGGUCUACUCUGCCUUGUCGUUCCACUUAAGAAACCUCUAACUAGCAUGUUAGGAUUUUUGUUCAUGACCAAAUCUGACUUUGGCCUUAUGCCCCUUUAAUCAUGCUAAAACAAUUGUAUAAAAAGGAAAACUAGGAAAUCACUUUUGCUAGUCUGCAUGCUUGAUUGAAAUCCUUAGUCAAAUAGUCAUACCUCACAGUGUCAUGAGACUAGUCCUGUGUUUCCCAAAAACUUGUUUCUUUAUGUUAGAUUUAUGCUUGGUCUUGUAGAGGUGGUUUACUUUUUCCUACAAAACUCAUAGGCAUAUCUAACUUAGUGUGUGCUUAGCUAAUUGUGAAACCAAAUCCUGAUUUUGUUUUUAUGCUUGUCCUGUCUUUUUAAAAAAAUAAUACCAAACAUGUUAUCUCAGGAUUUUCUUGGUAUUCAGUUUGUGUUCUUUUGCAACAUAUAGAUCAUUGUUGUUGUUUGAUUUCUAACUUCUUGCACUAGACAUCCUCCCAUGUUUCAUGCAUUCAUGAGCAUUUUCACUCAUAGCAUCAUCUCUAAUGUAUGCACACAUUUCUUUUAGAGAGAAAAUUUGCCAGAGAAUGGAACCUUUCAGACCAAAGUCGAGGCCAGCAUAAAAGUUGAUUUUGAGCCCGAAGAAAACCAAGGCAAGCGACUAAGCAUGUUUGUCGCCUACUUUUGAAAUGAAGUUGUUACUGUUGGUUGCAUGUGGGUGAUAAUAACUUAAUCUUGCAACUUGCUUAGUCAUGCUUAGUCAUAAAAUGAUCACUUAGUAAAAGAAACAGUCAUAGGUUAAUCAACACCUUUACUAAUAAGGUUCUUUAAGUUGUUUAAAAAUUUAGAAAUAGGAUAACUUUCCAAAUAAGUGUUAAGCAACCCUAAAGCGACCCACCCUUCUUUUGUGAAGUUUAAAUGAUUUGAACUUUAGAUGUGUACACAAUCACCAUCAAAGUCAACUCCAAGUUUUAAAUCGCAACACAUCUUACUUGACAAGAAAAUAAAUGGUUAUAACCUUGUCCAAGUGAAUGUGGUCAAAAUGCACCCUAAGCUUUUACAACAUUAAUGAAAUGCAACCUACACAUAAAAGCUUGUUUUGAAAUCUUGCAUUUGCAUCUCAUGUAGAAGCUAACUUCGCUGAUGGAAUGUAUGAGCUCGGCGUAGAAUGCGAAGCAGGAGGGUGUCUGCUGAGCUGAACAUAAUCAAGGCCCGAACCAAAAUUGGAAGAGCCCAAGGCUGAGUUAGGGCAAGAAGGCAAGCCCCAAAGCAUAACCCAAUUUUCUAAAUUUAUGCACUACUUAUGUUACUUAUGUUUGUCCAUUUAAGUUCACAGGAGUUGCUUGAAACCCUAGUUGCAUGAUUCUAGGCACUGAUGUGCUGAAUACUAGUAUGUUAAGACGAGUAGUUGCAAUGCUAAAUAGGGACUCCGUAAAAGUCGAGUGAUUUCCUGUCACUCACGAGCUAUAAGAGUUGCUUAUUUACUUAUGUUGGAAUAAUAAGGAUUGACUGGCGGGGUGAGCAAUUGGUCUAAAUUGGUUGACUGCCCUGUUUGUCUAGAAGAAAGCUGCUAAGGUUGUAAUGUGUCGGCGUUCGUGGUCAAGUGUUUAAAAGUACUAAUCUCAUACCUAGUAUGGGAUACGGUAGCCUAGUACCUGAUUCAAAACUUGGUUCCCCUGCUGCAGCAUGUGGAUACAAGGGUAGUCACGAUACAGUGUCGUCGGGAUCGUGGGGCAUUGUAUACCAAGGGAAGUGGGCCCGACCAUGUGCUCAGGGAUUGAUGGGGAUGGCUAACAAAUGAAGCGAACCCGUCAUGGUACGCGGAUGUCGUGGGGUUAGGUUCACCUUGCAAAGUUUAAAAACUCGAUUCGAAUCAUCUGCCUCUUACAGUUUGAGACUGCUUGAUCACUGUGCUGCACUGAGUAAGAAGUGAAACAAAGAAUGAUGAAUAAUACUAAUGCUUGAUUAAAUUGUUUGUUCAACAUGCUUGCUUAGAACCUGCUCCUAAACCUUGAAAGUAAGGACCUACUUUAGAAGAUUUUGGCAAAACAAAAUCCUCAACCAAAAGCCUUGCAUGUUUAGGAGUCGGUGGAUUAGAUACCACCUAACGGUAAGCCUUGUUGAGUAUUAGUAUACUCAGCCUUGCUUGGGGCUAUAGUUUUCAGGUUUUGUUGUUGAGUUGGUUGUUAGUGUGCCUUGGCUGUCCCAACUCCCUUCGGGUUGGACUGUUGAGUGGGACCCGUCCUCAACCGGCGAGGAUCGUGGUGUUUGAUUGUUUGGAUACGAGGUAGGCUACGCUAGUGCAAAAAAAAAAUUUCUACCAUGUAAACCAGGAAAACUGCCGUACAUGGAUCACGGGAUUACCACUCGACGCACUGGUGUAGAAGAUGUAGAAUCACGUCGGGGCAGCGAACUCGAUCAGCUUAGUCGAACACGUAGUUGAUCACGUCGACGUCGAGCAGUUCCUCAGCAGCUCGUCCACGUAUCGCGAGGUCCUCCUCGUGCCGCAGCUUGUCGUCAGCUCGUCGUGGCUCGUUAUCGGCUCGUCGUGGCUCGUUGGCGGCUCAUCCAAGUGCGGCAGGUGCAACACCUGCAAGGUAUCCACACGUGUAGGGAGGAAGUGUCGCAAGCCGGACUGCUAGGUCCGCGAGUUGCAACAGGCGAGGGUGUGGAAGGCACGGCAGCUGUGGUUCGGCCAAAAGGAUUGAAACCCUAGGGCAUCCCACCCCUCUAUUUAUAGAGGUUCCUGAUGGGCCUCUGGGUUUGAGGCCCAUUAGUACUCCUAAACCUGAUCCAAUUCGGAUCACAUCCGAAUUGGGCUUCCAACCCCUUAAGUGUGCGACCCUAUAGGUUCGGAUACGUAUAGACAUGGCCCGAGUACUCCUACUCAGCCCAAUAGUCGGUAGCGGCCUCUAGCAAGACGUGUCAACUCCCAUACACACACGAAGAUCAUAUCAGACGAACCAUCACAACAUCAUGUACAUGCUAUUCCCUUUGCCUCACGAUAUUUGGUCUAGCUUCAAGCCGACCGCUCUUUCUCGAUCCUGUGAUUCGGAAUCCCUUUGUAGGUUAACUCUUAACCAUACGUAGCAUGGCCAUGCAUUUUUAGAUCCGAUCACUCGAGGGGCCCAGAGAUAUCACUCUCAAUCAAAGUGGGGCAAAUCCCAUCUUGAUUGACCAUGCCUCUUAGCAUGCUUCUUGACAAACCCGAAAGCUACCUUUUUAACUACCCUGUUACAGUGUAGCGCUUGAUAGCCCCUAAGUAAGUCGAUCCACAUCUUGAGUACAUGUGACAAUCUCAGGUCUAAGGACAAAGUGUACAUGUUGUGUAAAGAGAGAACUACUUCUCGUGUUGGGUCAGUGCUAGCACAUGUCUCUACACAUGCCCACAUUAUUAGUUUGACACCUUCAUGUCCAUGACUUGUGAAACAUAGUCAUCAACUAAUACAUGUGCUAGUCUAAUAUUCAUGUGUGUCCUCACAUGAACUCCAACUAGGGACAACUUUUAGAAUAACCAUACAAGUAAAGAGUUCCACAUACAAUUCACACAAUUGCAGAUCAAUUCAAGUAGCCUUUAAUGGAUAUUCAAUGAACACUAUAAAUCAUGAAUACAAAUGGAAUAUCAUCAUCUCUAUGAUUGCCUCUAGAGCAUAUCUCCAACAGUCUCCCACUUGCACUAGAGUCAAUCUAGAUGGUAUCUAAUACCCAUAGCUCUUACAUGCGCAUCAUGUUUAGCCUACGGGAGAGGCUUUCUCAAAGGAUCGGAAAUAUUCAGAUCCGUGUGUAUUUUGCAUAUAUUGACCUCACCCCGGUUAACAAAGUCUCGAAUGAGAUGAAAUCGCCGCAUAACGUGUUUGUUCUUCUGGAGAUUCAAUGGGCUGGAUGCAUUCGGGAACACACCAAGCUCAAUAAGGAAAUUCCUUAUCCAAACACCCUCCUUCGCGGCUUCCGAAGCCGCGAUGUAUUCGGCUUCUGUCAUAGAAUUGGCCACCGUCUCCUGCUUGGAACUCUUCCAACUAACAGCACCACCGUUUAGCAUGAACACAAAUCCUGAUUGUGACUUUGAAUCGUCUCUGUUGGUUUGGAAACUAGCAUCGGUGUAACCUGUUACAACGAGCUCCUCCUCACCUCCAUAGACGAGGAACAUGUCUUUAGUCCUUCUUAAGUACUUAAGAAUGUUUUUCACCGCUAUCCAGUGACUCUCACCCAGAUCAGACUGGUGUUUGCUUGUCAUACUUAGCGCAUAUGAAACAUCUGGGUGAGUACUUAUCAUUGCAUACAUGAUAGAUCCAAUAGCCGAAGAAUAUGACACUCAACUCAUGCUAUCCCGCUCAUCAGCAGUCGAAGGACACUGAGUCUUGCUGAGAUGUAUGCCAUGUGACACAGGCAAGAACCCUUUCUUCACCUCUUCCAUGUUGAACCGCUUCAACACUUUGUCAAUGUCAGUAUCUUGGCUUAAUCCUAUAAGCCUUCUCGAUCUAUCUCUAGAGAUCUUAAUGCCCAGAAUAUAUACCGCUUCCCCUAAGUCCUUCAUCGAAAAACUAUUUUUCAGUGAAGUCUUAACGACUCAAGCAUAGGAAUGUUAUUUCCAAUCAGCAAUAUGUCAUCCACAUAUAAAAUUAGAAAUACUACAGAGCUCCCACUUUCUUUCUUGUAAACACAAGACUCUUCUUCAUUCUUGGUGAAGCCAAAGCCUUUGACCACUUCACCAAAAUGAAUGUUCCAACUUCUAGAUGCCUGCUUCAAUCCAUAAAUGGAUCUCUAAAGCUUGCAUACCUUCCCAGCAUUUUUCAGAUCGACAAAACCCUUGGGUUAUAUCAUAUACACAUCCUUAGUUAGGUUUCCAUUCAGGAAAGCUGUCUUGACAUCCAUCUGCCAUAUCUCAUAAUCGAAAUAUGCAGCUAUAGCUAGAAUAAUCCGAAUGGACUUAAGCAUCACUACGAGCGAGAAGGUCUCAUCGUAGUCAACUCCUUGAACUUGUCGAAAACCUUUUGCGACAUGUCGUGCUUUAUAGAUGUGAACAUUUCCAUCCAUGUCCUUUUUCUUCUUAUAGAUCCACUUGCACUCUAUGGCUUUAACACCAUCAGGCGUGUCAACCAAGUUCCAAACUUGAUUGUCCCCCAUGGACUCUAUUUUGGAUUGCAUGGUACUCUACCAUUUUUCGGAGUCUGGGUCCAUCAUUGCUUCUACAUAUGUCGCGGGCUCAUCAUUGUCCAACAAUAAUAUUUCCCGCAUUUCGCGGAGCCUUGCCGACCUUCGUGGUUGUGGCGGUGCUUCUCUUGACAUGGGUAUCUCAACUUGUUCUGCUAUGUUAGCAUCACUCGUAGAUUCUUGCCCGUUCAGCUCAUCUCGAACUUCUUCAAGAUGCACUGUCUUUCCACUUUUUCUCCUUUGAGAAACUCUUUUUCUAGGAAAACCCCGUUCCGAGCGACAAACACUUUGCCCUCUGACCGGUUGUAGAAAUAAUAUCCAAAGUUUCCUUUGGAUAUCCCAUGAAAAUGCACUUAUCUGACUUGGGUGUGAUCUUGUUCGACUCAAGUCGCUUGACAAACACUUCACAUCCCCAAAUCUUUAGAAAAGACAAACUGGGAGUCUUUCCAGUCCACAUCUCAUAUGGUGUCUUAACCACAGAUUUAGACGGUACCCUAUUAAGUGAAAGCUGUUGUUUCUAGAGCGUAUCCCCAAAAUGAUAAUGGUAGGUCCAACUAGCUCAUCAUUGAUCGAACCAUGACCAACAAAGUUCAAUUACAUCGCUCAGAUACACCAUUUCUCUGAGGUGUUCCAGCGGCGUAAGCUGUGGAACAAUUCUGCAACUCUUCAGAUGAUUGCUAAAUUCGUGGCUCAAAUACUCGCCUCCAUGAUCAGAUCGCAAGGCCUUAAUUUUCUUGCCACGCUGAUUUUCUACUUCAUUCUAAAAUUCCUUGAACUUUUCAAAGGUUUCAGACUUGUGCCUCAUCAAUUAGACAUAGCCAUAUCUACUAAAAUCAUCAGUAAAAGUUAUGAAGUAUUGGUACCCUCCUCUGGCUGUCGUGCUCAUUGGUCCGCAUAUAUCGGUAUGUACGAGUUCCAACAAGUCUAAUGCUUUCUCAGGAAAACCUGUGAAAGGUGCCUUGGUCAUCAUGCCUAGUAAGCAAUCCUCACAUGUCUCGUAUGAUUCAAAAUCAAACGAAGUUAAAAGUCCAUCAAUAUGGAGCUUCUUCAUGCGUUUCUCACUUAUAUGACCCAAACGAUAAUGCCACAUGUAGGUAGUACUCAAAUCAUUAGGCCAAGGCCUUUUAGCACUUAUGUUACAGACAGGUGAACCAUCAAGAUUUAAAACAAACAAUCCAUUCACAAUAGAUGCAAAAGCCAUAAACAUAUCAUUCUUAGAGAUCACACAACCAUUGUUUUCACUUGCAAAUGAAUAACCAUCCUUUAUCAAACAUGAAGGAGACAUAAUGUUUCGACUUAAACUAUGAACAAAAUAACAAUUAUUCAAUUCCAUAAUAAAUCCUGACAGGAGGUGGAGUUGCAUCGUCCCGACGGUCAAUGCAGCACCUCUUGCAUUAUUGCCCACGUGGAAAUCAACUUCUCCCCUUUCAACGCUUCUACUUCUUAUCAUUCCCUGCAUCGAAUUGCAAAUAUGAGCAACCGAUCCGGUAUCAAAUACCCAACAAUUAAUAAUUGUAUCAGCGAGAAAUAUGUUGUCUAUAACAUUAACAACAAGUGUACCUGAGGUGGAAGUACUCUUACUUCCGCCAUUCUUCAACGAAGAUAGGUACUGCUUGCAAUUUCUCUUCCAGUGACCAGGUUCGUGACAAUAAAAGCACUCUUUAUCUGUAGCAGGUCCAGCUUUAGCCUUGGGCGCUGGGUUUGGCUUGGACACUCCAGCCUUGCCCUUCUUCUUCCAAGAACUGCCCUUCUUCUUGAAGCUAGGCUUGUUUUGUAUAGCCAUCACAUGGCUGCUACUAGCGCUUUUCUUAAUGUCAGCCUCUGCUCUUUUAAGCAUGCCACACAGUUCAUUCAGACCCUUCUCCAUCCCAUGCAUAUGGUAAAAGUUCGAGAUGAAGUUCCCAUAGCUAGACGGAAGAGAUUAAAGAGUGAAAUCAGUGGCCAACUCUUGGCCCAGUGGGAAGCCUAGCUUCUCCAACCGUUGAGUGUAACCAACUAUCUUGAUUACGUGGGGUCCUACUGCUGCGCCUUCUGCUAGCUUGCUCUCCACAAAGGCCUUAGACACAUUGAACCUUUCAGUCCUGGCCUGUGUUUCAAACAUGUCUCUAAGUGCCACGAUCAUAUCGUGCGCCUCAUGGUUUGUUUCGAACUGCAUCUGCAGUUCGGGUUCCAUGCAAGCAAGCAUAAGGUUACUUCAAGGUUAGCAUCACAUGCUUUCUCGUAAGCAUUCUUAACAGCAGCAGACGCAUCAUCAGCAGGUUCUUCUAGUAAUGGGGUGUCUAGAACAUCUUUCUUUUUCUCAGCUCUGAGAACGAUUCUCAGGUUACGGAUCCAAUCCGAGUUAUUUGUUCCAUUCAACUUGUCCUUCUCAAGGACCGAACGCAAAACAAACGAUGUGGUGUUGCUAGGUGCCAUCUACAACAAAAUAAUAAUGCAAAAUACUAAGACAAACGUAUCCAUGACAGAGUAAAUCACAUUAAACUAUUUAACAGAAUCUACUCCCACUAAAAUCAAUAUCCCUCUAUUGAUACUUAGUGAUUCAGGAUCCACAACUAACAAGUCUACUAGUGAGCUUUAGCAUCACCGCUAGCAAACAAGGUAGAUCGGUAAGCAACUUCUUGUUAAUCAUAUCACAUAUGACUCCUGUUGUUGGAUGACAUCUCCAUGUCUUGGUGCCCAACCUUUAUGCCCCAAGGUCCUUAACCGUUAAGAUAACCUUGUUAAGCAAAUCAACCCUUAUGUGUGUAAGUGUCCGACACAAACCCAUCUAGUCAAGGAAAACUAGUGGCACCCUAAUUUCAUAGACCUACCACCAAUUGUACAAGACAUGGGAUGGUGCAAGUUUUAGUUGGGAGGGCAUACAAACUUAAACUUUGCGAGGGAAGUAAAACAUGCUAUUUUCUUAUGCAGGAAGUAAAACAUAAAGAAUAGCAUUCACACAGUUGUGACACAGUAUGGCCCAUUUUCUUAUGGUGAUCUCCAUCUCCAUAGAACCUGUUCACCAUGGUGAUCUCCAUCUCCAUGUUCCAUGUGCGCCAUCCUCCUGGUGAUGAGUCCUCCAAGAACUAGAACAUGCUAUUGCACCUAAUAGCUAGUAAUGAAGAUUACAUAGUUUCUUGGAUUAUCACAGAUUGGUACGCAGACCAUUAAAUACAUUAAAGUGACAACACAUAUGGCUCCAGCCGUGUUGCCGUACGCGUGACACAUAGGUCACGAAUGAGUUACACACAUGCAUCACAUACAGAAGGGGUCAUACCGAUCACAAAAUCAUAACAUCCUGCAAAACGGAGUUAGGCGUUCUAACGUUCCAAACUUCAGAGGCCAAAACUCUAUCUUCCAAAUCGAAUUUGGGAAAUCUGAUUUCACCGAAAAUGGUGAAGCGGUUGAAUUUGAUGUGUAACUUUUUCCGUAGAUCAAUUUUCAUAUAAAAUUCAUGUCUAUCCGAGAUCGUACCAAAAAUUUACGACUGUUUUACUGAAACAUAUGCAUACGGCAAAAAUUCCGACCCGGUAAUAGAUCCAAUCUACUAUUGCGCAUCACAUGCGCCUGGCGUAUGAAUCUGGGUUUCGAUUCGAUCAAUCACAUUGAUCUUCGCUCGCUACAAAUAGCAUUACGUGUAUCACUUAACUCCGAUGGUGGAAAUCCGACCGGUAGGAGUGUGUCGUUACACGAUCAUUGCAGCAAGAACACGAAACCAGGUCAUAGAUCAAUCUGAAAACUUGCAUAUCUCCAUAUGCACACAUCCCGAAUCCAUAACUAAACAGCUAUGGCUCUGAUACCACUAUUGGGAUACGAGGUGGGCUAAGCUAGCGCAAAACAAAAUUUUCUACUACGUAAACUAGAAAAACUGUCAUAUAUGGAUCACGGGAUUACCACUCGACGCACUGGUGCAAAAGAUGUAGAAUCGCAUCGGGGCAGCGAAGUCGAUCAGCGUAGUCGAACACGUUGUCGAUCACGUCGACGUCGAGCAAUUCCUCAGCAACUCGUCCAUGUACCGUGAGGUCCUCCUCGUGCCGCGGCUUGUCGUCGGCUUGUCGUGGCUCAUCAGUGGCUCGUCCAAGUGCUGCAGGUGCAACACCUCCAAGGUAUCCACACGUGCAGGGAGGAAGCAUCGCAAGCCGGACUACUAGGUCCGCGAGUUGCAAUAGGCGAGGGUGUGGGAGGCGCGGCAGCUGUGGUUCGGCCAAAAGGAUUGAAACGCUAGGGUGCCCCACCCCUCUAUUUAUAGAGGUUCCUGACGGGCCUCUGGGUUCGAGGCCCAUUAGUACUCCUAAACCUGAUCCAAUUCGGAUCACAGCAGAAUUGGGCUUCCAACCCCUUAAGUGUGCGACCCUAUAGGUUCGGAUACGUAUAGACAUGGCCCAAGUACUCCUACUCAGCCCAAUAGUCAGUAGCGACCUCGAGCAAGACAUGCCAACUCCCAUACGCACACGAAGAUCAUAUCAGACGAGCCGUCACAACAUCAUAUACAUGCUAUUCCCUUUGCCUCAUGAUAUUUGGUCUAGCUUCAAGCCGGCCGCUCUUUCUCGAUCUUGUGAUUCAGAAUCCCUUUGUAGGUUAACUCUUAACCGUGCAUAACAUGGCCAUGCAUUUUUGGAUCCGAUCACUUGAGGGGACCAGAGAUAUCACUCUUAAUCAAAGAGGGGCAAAUCCCAUCUUUAUUGACCAUGCCUCACACCAUGCUUCUUGACAAACCUAAAAGCUACCUUUUUAACUACCCUGUUACGGUGUAGCGUUUGAUAGCCCAUAAGUAAUUUGAUCCACAUCUUGAGUACAUGCGACAAUCUCAGGUCUAAGGACAAAGCUUACAUGUUGUGUAAAGAGAGAACUACUUCUCGUGUUGGGUCAGUUCUAGCACAUGUCUCUACAUAUGCCCACAUUAUUAGUUUGAGACCUCCAUGUCCAUGACUUCUGAAACAUAGUCAUCAACUAAUACAUGUGCUAGUCUAAUAUUAAUGUGUGUCCUCACAUGAACUCCGACUAGGAACAACUUUUAGAAUAACUAUACAAGUAAAGAGUUCCACAUACAAUUCACACAAUUGCAGAUCAAUUCAUGUAGCCUUUAAUGGAUAUUCAAUGAACACUAUAAAUCAUGGAUACAAAUGGAAUAUCAUAAUCUCUAUGAUUGCCUCUAGAGCAUACCUCCAACAUUGAUAUCAUGGCAGGCUUCACCAUGGUAUUGUGUAUCGACGUUAGACUUAUCAUUGUUUUUCCGCUGCUUUUGAACUCUGAAACUCUAUCUUUAUGCAUUUGAAAAAUUAGUCUGUAAUAACUGAAUGUGGGACCUGUAAUAAUGUAUCUAGAUUGUCAUAAUCUCUGGACUUGUCUUCGUGCAAGUAUGCUUCGUUUCGAUCCGAGACAAGUGGUUUUAUCGGGUGAAACAUGGCGGACUGCCAUUUUAAUUUGAUUAAAGUGUCCAUUCGCGUGUAAGGCCAUAUUGAGUACACUUUAGCCAGGCUAAUUUGGGCAGCCCGAGUGCCACAGCUAGUAUCAGAGCUAGUAUCUGAUGCCACAGCUGGUACCAGAGCUCAAAAGCAUACCUAGAGAGAGCAACAAGCCCUAAACACCUUUUUGAAUAAAACUUGCAAGAAACUUAUUUUGAAAAAGAAUCCAUAAGUUCGUAGUGCUUGUAGUGUUAUUAACAUGUUUACCAUGACUUAAUCAUGUACUUGUUUAAUUGUACGUAAAUUUAUUAUUUAAUAUUUAAUGGUGCUACAAAAAUAGAAAUAUUUAAUAUUUUAACCAUGCAAAAAUUAUUUCUUGUUUAAUAGGGUGAGAUUUGCUUAUAUCAUUGCAAGGAUUUGCUUAUAUCAUUCAAAAAAUCAAGAUGAUCGCGAUGUCAUUUUGCUGAACUAGUUGCUAUCAGGUAUGUAUUCAGAUAUGUUGGACGUAUACAUGGACACUCAGGAUAACAUUUUUUGGAAUUCAUGUUCUUAAUUACUUUCUCAAGUAAAUGCAGACAAGCUUGGCUGCCUCUAUGAGGUCGACUUUGCGAGUUUCUGGGCUCAGGUGGAGGAGGCUGAGGUGUUCAGGGUAAGCACACCGCACUCUAGUACAACUGCGGUGAGAUCAUCAAGUACAUCAAGUACCCGAGGUGAGAUCAUCAAGUACAUCAAGUACCCGAGGCAAGAUCAUCAAGUACAUCAAGUUUCUCCUGUAUCCCAUCAUUCUAGCUGUCAUCCAGAUGAAGAAGGAAUUUCCAAUAUUUACAAAAGAUCAUCCAGAUGAAGAAGGAAUUUCCAAUGUUUACAAAAGGGAAGAAAUGUAUAAAGUAUAAAUAAGAUCUAACCAUUCAUAAUUAAGGGUAAUAUGGUAAUUACAAUAAUUCAUUUGUUGAUAACCAAAAACACAACAUAAUGGUUCAAUUACAUAAUGCAACAUCAUCUAAUGGAAUGUUAAUAACUCUCCUCUUGACGAACGUCCCUUGGUUGUGAUUGCGGCGUAAGUAUGGAGCAUCCUCUUUGGCUAACAGGAUGCUUGGGUCAACCUCGACUGAAAAUGGGAAAGAUCAUCAAACUGAUCAUAAUCUUCUGAAAUGUCAGUCUUGUCCUCAACUACAAUUUUUCUUUUCCCUAGAAGAACUAUGUGGCGCUUUGGCUAGUCAUCUGACUUAUUAGCACCCUUCCUUAUUGGUUUGCUUGACAUGUCCUUCACGUAGAAAACUUGAGUCACGUCAUUGGCUAGGAUGAAUGGUUCUUCUCUGUAUCCAAUCUUGUUGAGGUCCACUAUUGUCAUCCCAUAGUUGUCCUCCAGUAAGUUUCACCCAUUGGCACCAAAACAGAGGAAUUUUCAAAGGUCCAUAGUCAAGUUCCCAUAUCUCCUCAAUGACACCAUAGUAUCUGACUUUUUUUCCCAUUGUCGUCUAUUGCAUCGAUACGAAAACCACUAUUUUGGUUUGUGCUCUUUUGAUCUUGGACUCUAGUGUAAAAUGUGUACCAUUUAUCUCAUAUCCUUGGAAUGUCGAUACUGAGAUAGAUAGACCCCUAGCAAACCAUGCUAGUUGUUCUUCAAUCAUGUCAUCACCCAUCAGUCGUCGCCGCAACCAAGAGGUGGAAGUGUCAAUGUGAUGACGUGUAAUCCAGGCCUCAGUCUUCUCUUGGUUUGAGGACCAUACAUUAGCCCUAUGCUCCUUCAUAUAUGGAGCGACCAGGGAUGAUUGCUGCAGGACUGUGAACUGUGCUUUACGAAAUGUAUCCUCAUCGAUGUCCAUCGGAGCUUUCCUCCCUAAUGUGCCCUUUCCCUUCAGUCUCCCCUCAUAGUGUGAUACAGGGACUCCAAUUGAACUCAGGCUGUCCAUAAAGUCAACACAAAACUCAAUGACCUCCUCUGUUCCAUAUCCCUUUGCGAUGCUUCCUUUCGGAUGGGCACGGUUAUGAACAUACUUUUUCAAAAUUGCCAUAAAUCUCUUGAAAGGGAACAUAUUGUGUAGAAAUACAGGACCGAGGAUAAAAUCUCUUCAACAAGGUGGACUAGAAGGUGGGUCAUGAUAUUAAAGAAGGAAGGUGAAAAGACCAUCUCAAAGCUUACAAGGCAUUGCACCACGUCAUUUUAAAGCUUUAAUAUAUUGUUUGGAUGGAUUGUCUUCUAAGAAAUCAGGUUGAGGAAUGCACAUAGCUUCACGAUUGUCAUUCUCACAUUCUCUGGUAGAAUACCCCUUAGUGCAACAGGCAGUAAUUGUGUCAUCAGGACGUGGCAGUCAUGGAUCUUUAGAUUUAUGAAUUUCUUCUGUUUAAAAUUUAUUAUUGCCUUUAUAUUCGAUGAGUAACCCGAUGGGACCUUGAUACUAUUUGUUGGGGGGAAAUACGACUUCCUUAUAUUCCUUAAACGACAGUCCUAAGAGCCCGGGCCCACCUCCAACAACAGUGAUCUCCGCUGACUCGUCCCGAUCCCUGGCUCACAGGGUCGGGACGCGCCCGACCCCCCAGGGGCCGUUGCUCAUCCCAGCCGAGAGAGCUCCGCCUCGCCCGACCCCGGGCGCAAGGGGUCGGACGCGCCCGACCCCUCGCCGCAAGUCUCCGCCUUACCCGACCCCGGGCGCAACGGGUCGGACGCGCCCGACCCCUCAUCGCAAGGCUCCGUCUCACCCGACCCCGGGUGCUAAGGGUCGGACGUAUCCAGGCCCACAGGACAGAGCUUCGCCUUACCCAAGGACGUGCACGGACCAGCAGACGAGGGCGCAGAUCUUGUGGGCUCCCAUCGAUCUUCCCAUAAAUACAACCGAUGGGACGCUCAUGUCCAGAAUACGGCUCUCACACACGGAGAGGCACCCACGUUCCUCAACGUGACCCGCCGGAGUUUUCGGGCGGCGCACUACUGCCAGGACUGCACAGCGCUACAGCAGCACCAUCCUAACCCUCCCCUAUGACAUGCAUCAUAGGGUACUCAUCGCCCAUGCUGCCUAACGAAGGAGGGUGCGCCGCCCAGUUUCCCGCUCGGCCUGGCGGUAGGGGCGUGUCAGCCGCGCCCCCCGGUCAACACGCGUGGCUACAGUGGUCGCCCAUCAUCCGCGACACGCACAGCUACAAUGGUCGGUCACCAUGCACGUCUCACGCCCUCGGUUACAAUGGCCGAUCGCUGGGUCAUCGAUGGGACCCAACGGCAACCACUCCUCCUGGGUGGACGCAGAAAUCGGAAGGGAAGGCAGCAACCCCGGUGGCUCGGCUCGUCUCCCUGUGCUUUACCUUCCUUUACCUUUUUUAUUUCCUUUACUCCUGGCUCGAUUGUAACUCCUGUGUCCUCCUUGCGCUAUAAAAGGAGGACCAGGGGGCCCCGAGAAAGGGAUGGCUCUCGAGUGAACCGAACGACCCCCAACUCACAACCCUUCCACACGAGCAUCAGUGCACACCCACAGAGACUUGGGACUAGCUUCCCUCUCUCACCCAUUUGUAACCCCUACUACAAACUUGGCACGGGUAACAUGAGCAGCCUCCCACAGCGGAUGUAGGGCUAUUCCUGCCUCAACCAAUAUAAAUUCUGUCUCCUCUCCUGCAACCAUCCGAGCCUUAUGCGCAUAGAAAACAAAUUUACUUGCUGGAGUCUUGACCUGUGAUUCUUGACACCGAUAGUUGGCGCGCCAGGUAGAGGACCUUUGCGCGUACGACGAUCAUCACUGGCUUCGGAUGGCCAACCACGACAUCGGCUUCGCUCCCGGCUCCCACAUCCACUUCGGAAGCCUGGACUUCCUCGCCACGGGAGAGGGAAUCGAGCUGAUUCCUCUCCGCGUCCUGCCCGCUCACUCCGUCACCUCCGACUCCACCGCCGGAACGGUGGUGAGAGGCCGGGCACGCACCAUGGGGCCUCCUUUGGAGGAGCAGCCCUUUGGCCUACGCAAUGCCGCGACGAGUUACGGUCGUCUCCUAGAACGAUCCAUGAUCGUGCCACCCGUGAACAACGAGUUCGUGGGCGUAAUGGAAAAGGCCUCCGACGCUGGUUCCGACAAUGGGAGCCACCACCCCUCGCGUGAGUGCUUCAUGGCCGAUGUGCACUCCGCAGGGUCCAACGACGACGGCAGCGAAGGGAGGUGGCGCACUCCCCCAGCACGCGCCGCAGCUAAAGCCGGAGCCCUCGCCAGGGUCCCGGAGCAGCCUCGGCUGCCGGAGGCGCCCGCAGUGCCCAACCAAAAGGUCGAGCAACCCCGCAAUGAAGGCGGGGCGCAUCAACGGGCAUGCGACGUCCAGCGGUGCAUCUACGAGGACGAGGGUCGCCCUCAACUCUUCACAUGCGCCAACCAGAACAUCAUCACCGUAGCGGCCCUACUCCUACGACUUCCUGAGCCAGUGACGCCCGAGGAGUGACAGGCCCACCAAGAGGUGCGCAACCUGCUUGAGUGCGCCGCAGUCCAGCAGGCCGAGAGCUCCGUGUCCCGGCGACGCGGGCACAACGCUAGGAGGGUAGUGCCCACCGCGCCUCCCGAAAGGCAUAGGGAGUUUGUCCACCAGCCUCCCCCCAGGGGAACUGGGCCGCGCCCGCUCAACGGACCCCACCGCCUGCAGGUGGCGGAGCCCCAUCUGUCCACCAGCACGUUGGUCCCGUCCGCGACGCCCGUGACACCCUAGACGCGGGGAGGCGCUCCCGCGCGGACAAGGAGGACGGAGCAGACCGUGGCUACCACGUACACCGUGGUAGCCGCUACGAUAGCGAAGAAUACUGGAGCCCAAGCCCCGACUUAGCAGGACCCAGGGCUUUCUCCGCGCGCAUCCUGAAUGCGCCGUUCCCAGCACGUUUUAGGCAGCACACCAACAUGGCGAAGUACUCCGGGGAGACAAACCCUGGGCUUUGGCUCAGCGACUAUUGGCUUGCCUGUCAGGCCGGUGGGACGGAUGACGACCUGUUCAUCAUCCGCAACCUCCCUCUGUUCUUAGCCGACUCAGCACGAGCUUCGCUAGAACACCUUCCAUCAGGUCGGAUCCAAAACUGGAAUGACCUAAAGGAAAUCUUUGUAGGGAACUUCCAGGGCACGUAUAUGCACCCCAGAAACUCCUAGGAUCUCCGGAGCUGCCGCCAGUGGUCGGAUGAGCCCCUCCGAGACUACAUCCGGCACUUCUCCAGGAAGCGCACCGAGCUCUCCAACGUCAUCGACGCUGACAUCAUCGGAGCCCUCUUGUCGGGAACCUCCUACAGGCCCCUGGUCCACGAGCUGGGGCACAGGGGCCCACGAACCAUUGAGGAGCUCCUCAACAUCGCCACUAGCUUGACCUCAGGUGAAGAGGCCAUCGGGGCAAUCUUUGAUCGCCCCAAAGGCAAGGCGAAGCAGGAGGAGGAGGUCAACGAGGGCACCUCCAACCGCCAGCAGAAGAAGAAGAACAAGCAACGGCGUGAGGCUCCCGUUGUGGUUGUUGCCGAGCGCAAAUGGGGACAGCCGCCUCCCGAGGGCACCCCCGGCUUCUUCGAUAAGUUUCUUGAGGGACCGUGCCCGAACCAUGAGUUCCCCGUCAAGCAUGCCUACAAGGAUUGCAACCUCAUGAAGAGGUACUUUAUGGGCAAUCCGGUGAAGGGUGACUGGAGACGGAAGCCCGAAGAAGAGAGGAAGGACGUCGGAGAGAAGGAAGACGGCUUCCCCAAUGUGGACGGCUGCUUCAUGAUCUUCGGCGGGCCAGCGGCCUACGACUCCAAGCACUGCCGAAAGCUGGAACGCCGCGAGGUCUACGCGGCCAACCCCGCUACCCCGACCUUCCUCGACUGGUCAAGGUCCGCCAUAACCUUUGACCAGUCCGACCAUCCGGAGCGUGUCCCGCAGCCGGGACCCUACCCCCUCAUCGUCGACCCCAUCAUCAGCACGAAGCGCCUCACCAAGGUGCUCAUGGAUGGAGGCAGCGGCCUUAACAUCCUCUAGGCCAAGGCCCUCGACGCCAUGGGGACCGACCGAUCCCGUCUCCGUCCCAGCAAGGCACCAUUCCAUGGCAUCAUGCUGGGGAAACGGGCAAUGCCCCUCGGGCAGAUCGACCUGCCCGUCACUUUCGGAACUCCUUCCAUCUUCAGGAAGGAGAUCCUCACUUUCGAGGUAGUAGGCUUCCGCGGAACCUACCACGCCAUCUUGGGACGGCCAUGCUACACCAAGUUCAUGGCCAUCCCCAAUUACACCUACCUCAAGCUCAAGAUGUCGGGGCCCAACGGGGUCAUCACCAUCGGUGCAUCUUUCCAAAAGGCGUACGAGUGUGAUGUCGAGUGCUGCGAGUACGCCUCGGCCAUCACUUGCUUGGAGGACCAUGCGGUCCGGCUUGCGGAGGGAACCAAGGACCUGCCCAACUCCAAGCAGUCCUCCACCUCCUUCGAAGCCAUGGAAGGUGUGAAGGAAGUCCCCCUCGACCCCAACUGCUCCGACGGCAGGACGGUGCGGAUAGGCGCUACCCUAUCCCCCAAAUAGGAAAGUGCGCUCGUCGACUUCCUCCGUGCAAACAGCGAUGUUUUUGCGUGGAAACCUUCAGACAUGCCGGGCAUCCCGAGGGAAGUCGCCGAGCACUCCUUGAACAUCAAGGCCGGCUCCAAAUCGGUGAGACAAGGCCUGCACUGCUUUGACGAGGAGAGGCGCAAGGCCAUCGGUGAGGAGCCCCAGAAGCUUUUGGUGGCCAGGUUCAUCAAGGAAGUGUACCACCCCGAGUGGUUAGCCAAUCCUGUUCUUGUAUGAAAGAAGAAUGGGAAAUGGAGAAUGUGUGUUGACUAUACGGGCCUCAACAAAGCGUUCCCAAAGGAUCCGUUUCCUUUGCCACGCAUAGAUCAAAUAGUCGACUCAACCGCAGGGUGCGAAAGCCUUAGCUUCCUCGACACGUAUUCCGGUUACCACCAAAUCGCGAUGCAAGAGUCUGACCAGCUCGCGACCUCUUUCAUCACCCCUUUCGGGCCCUACUGCUAUGUCACGAUGCUGUUCGGCCUUGAAAACACGGGGGCUACAUACCAAUGAUGUAUGCUCAAGUGUUUCAGGGACCUCAUCGGGUGAACCGUUGAGACCUACAUGGACGACAUCGUGGUCAAGUCCAAGAAAGGCGACCAGCUCAUCCCCAACCUUGAGCUGGCCUUCGAAAGGCUGAGAGACAAGCGCAUCAAACUCAACCCCAAAAAAUGCGUUUUCGGGGUCCCAAGGGGCAUGCUACUCGGCUUCGUCGUCUCUGUGCAUGGCAUCAAAGCCAACCCGGAGAAGAUAUAGGCCGUCACCGAUAUGGGGCCGAUCCAAAACCUGAAGGGAGUGUAUUGUGUCACGGGAUGCCUUGUGGCCUUGAGCUGCUUCAUCUCACGACUCGGCGAAUGAGGACUCCCCCUCUACCAACUCCUGAUUCGUGUGGACCACCGAGGCCCAGGAGGCGCUUGACCGGCUAAAGCAAAUCCUGACGAAGGCCGCAAUUUUGGUCCCACCAACCGACAAGGAGCCACUCCUGCUCUACAUUGCGGCGACCACCCAGGUAAUUAGCGCUACUCUAGUGGUGGAGCGAGAGGAGGAGGGACACGCCCUCAAGGUGCAGUGUCCGGUGUACUUCAUCAGUAAGGUCUUGUCCGACUCCAAGGUCCGCUACCCCCAAAUCCAAAAGCUCAUAUAUGCAGUCCUCAUCACGAAGAGGAAGCUGUGCCACUACUUCUCCUCCCACUCGGUGACGGUCGUGUCAUCGUUCCCCCUUGGCAAAGUGAUCCGGAAUCAGGACACCACAGGGCGGAUCGUGAAGUGGGCACUUGAGCUCAUGGACCAGGCCAUCACCUAUGCCCCCCAAACAGCCAUCAAGUCCCAGGUGCUCGCCGACUUUGUCGCGGAGUGGACGGAGGUCCAGACGCCAUCAGCGCCGGAGAAGUAGGAGUACUGGACAAUGUACUUCAACGAGUCUCUGAUGAAAGCUCGCGCUGGAGCGGGCCUAGUCUUCAUCUCCCUCUCAGCAUACGCAUGAGGUACAUGAUCCGCCUCCAUUUUCCCGCGUCCAACAAUGUUUUCGAGUACGAGGCUCUUCUCAAUGGGCUUCGCAUCGCCAUCAAGCUGGGCAUUCGAAGGCUUGACAUCUGAGGCGACUCCCAGUUAGUCGUUGAACAAGUCACGAAGGAGUGGAGCUGCCACGAUCCCAAGAUGGCAGCAUACUGCGACGUGGUCUGCCAGCUCGAGGACAAGUUCGAUGGUCUCGAAUCAACCACGUCGCGAGACGCUUCAAUGAGGCAACUGACGAGCUGGCAAAGGCGGCGUCCGGCCGGGGACCAGUUCCCACCGGUGUCUUUAUCAGCGACCAGCAUAAACCAUCAAUCUGCUAUGAGGAGUCGAAGGAGGUUGGCCACGCACCACCUGUCCCGGACUCGGAGGCCGACCCCUCCGACCCCUAGGUCAUAGAAAUCGACACGAAUCCAGCAGAGAGGCCCGACCCCCCGCCUGACUAGAGGGCCCCGUACCUUGAUUACCUCAUCCGUGAGUUGCUCCCGACCGACAAGACAGAGGCGCGAAGGAUCACCCGCCGUGCCAAAUCCUUCGUCAUCAUCGACCAGGAGAUCUACAAGCGGAGCCAUACUAGCAUCCUGCAGCGCUGCAUCCCGAUGAAGCAAGGAAAAGCGUUACUUCUGGACGUCCACGCCAGAGCCUGAGGCCACCAUGCCGCACCAAGAACCCUCGUCGGGAACGCCUUCCAACAAGGCUUCUACUGGCCGACGGCGGUCACCGACGCCACCCGCGUGGUGCGCACCUGCGAAGGGUGCCAAUUCUUCACGCGACAAACUCAUCUGCCCACCCAGGCACUCCAGACCAUCCCCAUCACGUGGCCCUUUGCGGUCUGGGGUUUGGACCUCGUCGGGCCCUUCAAGAAGGCGCCCGGGGGCUUCACGCACCUCCUCGUGACCAUCGACAAAUUCUCGAAGUGGAUCAAGACUCGACUGAUCACGCAGAUCAAGUCUGAGCAGGCGGUGCAUUUCUUCACCAACAUCAUCCAUCGCUUCGGAAUCCCCAACUCCAUCAUCACGGACAACGGCACGCAGUUCACCAGGAAGAAAUUCCUCAAGUUCUGCGAUGAUCACCACAUCCGAGUGGACUGUUGGCCGUAGCGCAUCCCCGCACGAACGAACAGGUUGAGUGGGCCAAUGACAUGAUACUCCAGGGUCUCAAGCCACAGAUCUUCGAACGCCUCAACAAAUUUGGCGGCCGAUGGGUUGCGAAGCUCCCCGCAGUCCUAUGGAGCUUGAGGACAACCCCCAGUAGGGCAACCGGCUUCACCCCAUUCUUCAUGGUCUAUGGGUCCGAGGCAAUCCUCCCCACCGACCUGGAGUAUGGGUCGUUGAGGGUCAGAGUGUACGACGAAUGAGGGAACCAGGCAUCCCUCGCGGACGCGCAAGACCAGCUCGACGAAGCGCGAGAUGUGGCCCUGCUGCACGCGGCCAAGUACCAGCAAGCUUUGCGACGGUAUCACAACCAUAAGGUACGGGGUCGGACCUUCAACGUCGGUGACUUGGUGCUUCACCUCGUCCAAAGCAACAAGGGUUGGCACAAGUUAACCCCGCCAUGGAUGGGUCCGUUCAUCAUUGCGCAAGUAUUGCGACCAGGCACAUACAAACUAGCGACCCCCGACGGGCAGGUCUUCACCAACGCUUGGAACAUCGAACAGCUAAGAUGUUUCUACCCUUAGCUAUUAUUUCCAAGUUUGUACAUACAUAUUUCCAUCAUCUUUUAGUUUGUGAAAAAGGUGUUGUUUUGAGUUGCCUUCGCUAAAGUUUCGUUCCAUGCUUAGGGAUAUCCAACCCUGGCUCUGCCCCAGGGUCGCAUAUCCCUCGGGGGCUAUCAAGGGCUCUGGCCCAAGACACUUGGCGUCUUCUUAAAACACCAUUUUUUCCAAACCGACCCUCUUCCUAAAUGUUUGGGCGUGAAAAGAAAGGAGUGCGUGAACAACACUCGGGCAAGACCGAUCGGACUGCGAGAAACCUAUGCGCCAGCGGCUACGGUGCCUUUGCUCAUCGGCGCUUUCCAACGCGUCCGAGUCGUGCUCUAAACUUUCCAAACACAAAAAAUAGAAAGAGGAUCGAAAACUUUUCCGAAAAAAGUUGCAUAAACCAAAAAGGCCUCUCCAGCCAUCGCAAAAGCAAGUUCGAAAAUUACUUAACUUAUUUACAUAUUUUUGGGCAACUUGGCCUGAUACAGCUAGCUCGUCCCCGAGUCCUCCGGCGGGAUGGCCUCAUCCUCCAGGAGCUUCGCCAAGGCCUCCGCUGGAUUGAGCACCAACACGUCGAUCUCGUCCCGCUCGGCCAUGGAAUAGCCGGAGGCGUACCCCCAUCUCAUCGCGUCGAAGUUGAUGUUGGAUUAGUGAGAGCCGAAGACGCCAAAGGCACGCCUCAUGCUGAUGUGGAGCGUCUCCCGAGCGAUCUCAAGGGCUCGCCGGUACAUACCGAGGACACGAGCCGCCAGCGUGCUCGUCCCCUCCUCUUGGACCACACUAAGGUCCUCGCAAACGAUGCGGAUGGCGUCCCGCAGGUUGGCGUGCUUGGCAUGCUCCACAUCGGUGGCGUCUCUCAGCCAGGCGAGGUCGCCCUCAAGGCCCGUCCAGAAAAGUCCGCCAAGUCAGAAACCAGAGCAACGCUACAAGCAAGAGAACAACGAAAGCCUUACCCUCAGAUUGGGCCCUCAGCAGACGUUCCCGGUCGACCCCUUGGGAUACAGUGGUCUGAAGCUCCUGCACCUGGGAUUGGAGCCGACUGACCUCCACCCCAAGGUCGGCCGCCAUCUUCUUAGCCUCAGCCUUCCAGCCCGCCUUGAGGUCGCGCUUCUGCCGAGCCGUGUGUCGCUCGUGACGGAUGCGCUUGACGGUUUUCUAAAGGGCCUCAUGCUCCUUCCUCAACUGUGCAAGUUCCUCGGCGUCAUGACGGGCCUUCCCGUGCCUCCGCGGUCCACCGUGUCUCCAUGGCGAAGCACUCCCAGACCCCCUGCUCAUGUCGGAGGAACUUGGACUUUCCCCGGCUGCAUUUCUGGAGGGCCUGCAGAACGAUUUACGCUCACGAAUUGUUUGGAGAAAAAAGGAACGGAGAAAUGAAAGAAAAGACAACCGCCAAAGAGAACACCAUACCCAACCGACGGGAGCGAUGACGCCGUCCAACUUCCCCAUCGCGGAGGACAGGGCAGCACGGACAUCUGCGAGCCCGCCCUGCACGUCCGACCAGCUCGCCAGCUCCCCAACAUCGUCCAGGACGAAGAGGGGCCUCUGCGGGUCUCCACUGGAGAACCAAUGCAUGGUUGCCCCUCCCCCACGCGUUGGGGUCGCGUCCAACCUGGAUGAGGGUGCCGGAAGACUCCCCGACCGACGCUGGCGGCUCGUCGACCGACGCUGACAGUCCUCCCGGAGCGGGCGCCGCCGUCUCCACCACCGCCCCCAGACCAGGCGCCGCCAUCUCCGUCGCCGCCGCAGGGGGAGGCACCGCUGUCUCUGUCGCCGCCACCGUGGCAGGCGCCACCAUCUCCAUCGCCGUCGCUGGGGCAGGCGUCACCGUCACCACCGCUGCCGCCGAGAUAGGCGCCGCCGCCAUCUCCACCGCCGUCGUCACCGUCUCCACGAUCGGCACCUCAGGCGCAGGCACCUCUCUCGCCGGCUCUUCCUCCGCCUCAACAUCUAUCACCUCGGUGCGCGAAGGAACCCCAGGGGUAGCAUCCUGUCCCACUGGGUCGGCUAUGGGGGUAGAAGGCAAGGUGGGGGCCGGCGCUUGCGCUGUGCCCAACUGCGGCACCCCCUCUUCAGCUACCACCUUGGAGGCCGCCUCCGCACAGGGCGCCACGGCCCCACCGACGCCGCCGCCGCUCAUUUCCGGUGGGGUCACAGCUGGCCCCGCGGAACCGGCCGAUGCCCAAAGCGCCUUCUUCAGCGCCAGCGGCAGGACGAAGUCUCGUGGAGCAGCACUGCAAGACGACGACAACUGCAUCAUAAAUAGCUCGACGCCAAGAAAAGAAUUAAGGUACGUGAGAACUUUCCACUUACCUCGCCACGGUACGAGGGCGGCGGGCGCACUUCGCCCCUGAGCUCAACGCUACCGCAUCCGGUAGCGGCCGAUUGCCGCUACCCCUCUGCUCGUGCGGCGUAGGCAAAGGGUCGGGGGUUGGUCCCGUAGAUUCCAGAGGCGCGCCCCUCACCGACCCCUGGGGUGCAGCCUCCGAGCCCCGGGGUUGGGCCCUGGGUGGGUGGUUCGCUCGACCUAUCCCUCGCGGCUGGUUGCGGGGGCUGCUCCUGGAUGACAAGCGCACCCGGCACGAAGGCCGGGACAUAACCCUCCUCCUCCUCCUCCUCGAUCUCGUCUUCAUCAUCCUCAUCGUCAUCAUCAUCGUCGUCGUCCGACACGACCGCACCCCUCCGCCGCCUUUGGAACUCCUUUGCGGCCCUCUUCCUCUUCCUUGCCAUCUCUUUGUCUUUCCUCUUCUUCUGCUUUUUGGCGAGGAGGCGAUUCUGCUGCCGCCGCACUGCGUCCUCCAGCACUGGUGGGCGGGAGGCUACAACCUGGUUCAACUCGCCCUGCAGACUCAAAAAUUCCACGUUAGGAAUGACGAACUAGAAAACAUAGGGAAGAAGAACAAGAGUGCAAAUUUCUCACCAGCGGGACCAAGCCCUCGUCCGGGCGCAUCGGAGGGUGUCUCCGCACCGAGAACACGACAUCCCUAUCGUCCAACGCCUCCCAAACGUGCUGCUCAAUCUUAGCGUUGGCAAGCACACCCGUCGCAAGGACGGUGCCAUCGGUCACCGAGCCGUGAACCAUAUCGCCGAGCGCAUGGGCCCGGAGCAUCAGUGGCGCCACCCUCCGUGCAUGGUACGCCCCGAUAACUCCGGCCCCGAUCAGGCCCUCCUCCUUCAAGCGAUUGAUGGCCUGGAGAAGACCGGCGAUGUUCCUCUUCUCCUUCUUGACCAGACCAUAUUUCCAAUUGUCCAGCGCCUCCGCGAUGACGCGGCCGGUGAACUCCGACAAGGGGGACUCAGAGCAGUUCUUCACGUAGAACCACUUCUGGUGCCACACCUUGUGGGACGGCGCAGUCUUCAUCGCCAUGUACUCCCUGGCGCGGUUCUGGCGGAGAUGGAUGCCGGCGCACCCCAUCGGCACCGGAACCGUCCGCACCUGGAUCCCCCUCUUCUCGAUCUUGUGAUGCAGGGUGACUGCGAAGAAGUAUAACAAGAGCGAGAAGUUGGGCUCAAUCCCCAGGUACCCCUCGCACAGCGCGACGAACGCCGCGAUGUGCUAGAUCCCUCCUGGGGUACCACCACUCAUUCUUGGCGGUCCUCUCGCAGAGGAGGCCCUUCUUCACGAGGCCAGUGGCGCGCGCGGUGUUGAAGUUCGAACGCAACUAGGACUCCAUCGCUAAGGGAAGGGAAGGCUCAACGGCAGGGGUGGAGAAGGCUACUGCGCUGGAGCGAGGGGAGGCAAAAAGUGUGCAAGAAGGCAAGAAAGGCUAUAGACGACUACGGGGCAGAAACCAGCGAGGCGGACUCCCUCAUCUUAUAGGGGGCGCAUGGGAAGAGAAAGGACAACCCAAUCGCAGUUAUUGCGAUGCCAGGUAUGCCUAUCAACUCCAUCUUUCUCGAAACCGUGCGCACGAUCUCUUCCAACCGCACGAAACGUCUCCCCUCCUCGUUUCACGGGCCUGGCAUUUUUCGCUGCUUCACAUCUCGGAUGAUGCACGUGCACGACUUCCUCCACGUACAGCCCAGUGCCCAUCAAUAAGUAAAAAAGAGAUACAGAGCUGAAAACGCCCCUACGGCCCAUUACGGCCCAGGGGUUCAAACGCUGGCCCACCGCAGGGUUCGACAGUCGCCCCAGGACACUCCCGAGCAAGGGGUGAGAAGGGACGGCUCCGCUAGCGGCCACCACCCAGGCGAGCGAAAGCCAAGGGCGUCCCGACCUCAUGUUCUAGUCCGGACUGGCAUUUAAGUUCAUGCUUUUUCCCCAAAGAAAGGCAACGAGCCCCCGGAUCCUAUCGAAUGGAUCCGGGAACUAUAUGAACUGGCCAUCUGGAGUCUGGAGUACGGCACCAGCUUGGCCCGAGCCGGACCUUGCCGAACGGGGAUCGGGACUCCACUCGAACUGACCCGUUCGCAGCUCAACGAGCACCACAGUUCGUCCAACGAGGAUCAUGUGGCACGGCUCACUCCCUCCGUCCCAACGAACGGACGCUUGAGGGGUAGCGAUCAAAAGUCGAUCCAACCUGUCGAUCAGUCUCCUACAACACGCGGGGGCUCGGAGGCUGGCAUCACAACCAAUGACCACGCGUCUGGUCACAAUUUGGAGUCUUGGAGCAGGAGUGGUCGUCGAAAUGAUAGAGAAUCUUAACGAGCCGAGCCAUCCUCGGAACACCCUACCUACCCAAAACUACCUGACCUGGCCAAACGAGAAAAGCUUUUCCUCCCUGAUCAAAUGCAGGUUGCAGGACAAACAAAGAUCCUUGAUGAACAACGAACACAACCUCUGGAGGAGCAUGUUUGCUCCACCAAAGGCUCGGGGGCUACUAUUGGGGGGAAAAAUUAAGACUUCCUUAUAUUCCUUAAACGAUGGUCAUAAGAGCCUGGGCCCACCCCCAGCAAUAGUGACCUCCACCGACUCGUCCCGAUCCCCGAGUCACAGGGUCGGGACGCGCCCGACCCCCCGGGGGCCGUUCCUCAUUCCAGCCGAGAGAGCUCUGCCUCGCCCAACCCCGGGCGCAAGGGGUCGGACACGCCCAACCCCUCACCGCAAGUCUCCGCUUCGCCCGACCCCAGGUGCUAAGGGUUGAACAUAUCCGGGCCCACAGGAUAGAGCUUCGCCUCACCCAAGGACAUUCGCGGACCAGCAGACGAGGGCGUAGAUCUCGUGGCCCCCAUCGAUCUCGCCAUAAAUGCAACCGAUGGGACGUCCAUGUCCAGAAUACGGCUCUAACACACAGAGAGGCGCCCGCAUUCCUCAAUGUGACCCGCCGGAGUUUUCGGGUGGCGCACUACUGCCACGACUGCAUAGGGCUACAGCGGCACCAUCCUAACCCUCCCCUGUGACAUGCGUCAUAGGGUACUCAUCGCCCAUGCUGCCUAACGAAGGAGGAUGCGCCGCCCGGUUUCUCGCUCAGCUUGGCCGUAGGGGCAUGUCAGCCACGCCCCCCGGUCAACACGCGUGGCUACAGUGGUCGCCCAUCAUCCGCAACACACACAGCUACAGUGGUCGGUCACCACGCACGUCUCACGUCCUCGGUUACAGUGGCCGACCGCUGGGUCAUCGAUGGGACCCAACGGCAACCACUCCUCCUGGGUGCACGUAGAAAUCGGAAGGGAAGGCGUCAACCCCGGUGGCUCGGCUCGUCUCCCUAUGCUUUACCUUCCUUUACCUUCUUUAUUUCCUUUACUACUGGCUCGAUUGUAACUCCUGUGUCCUCCUUACACUAUAAAAGGAGGACCAGGGGGCCCCGAGAAAGGGACGGCUCUCGAGCAAAUCGAAAGACCCCCAACUCACAACCCUUCCACACGAGCAUCAGUGCACACCCACAGAGACUUGGGACCAGCUUCCCUCUCUCGCCCGUUUGUAACCCCUACUACAAACUUGGCACGGGUAACACGAGCAACCUCCCACACUGGACGUAGGGCUAUUCCUGCCCGAACCAGUAUAAAUUCCAUGUCCUCUCGUGCAACCAUCCGAGCCUUACACGCAUAGAAAACAAAUUUACUUGCUGGAGUUUUGACCCGUGAUUCUUGACACCAACACUAUUGAAGCACUCAAACCUGCUUUCCUUCUCUUCCUUGCUGACAAUGUAAAUGGUAGGAUGCAAGUAAAUGCCCAUUAACUCUCUUUUCCGGAUGUAGGGCAUCUCAUUGUUUCAUACGUUUCAGGUCCUGACGUGCUUCAAUUGUAUCUUUUGCCUUUCCAUAUGUACCCAGGAAGCCAAGCACGUUCAUGCAAAGAUUUUUCAUGAGGUGCAUCACAUCAAUUGCAUUACGGACCUGAAGCACUUCCUAAUAAGGUAGCUCCCAAAAUAUAGACUUCUUCCACAUGGGUUCAUGUCCGUCCUCAUCGUUCGGAACAGGUUGGCUACCAGAGCCCUUGCCAAAGACUACCCUCACAUCCUUUGUCAUAGAAAAUACAUGUUUACCAUUACGGUGAAUGGGCUUAGUACAUUUUCUUCCUCCCCUUCAAAAUGCCUCCCUUUCUUUCUUAAUGGGUACUUAGCAGGAAAUAAUCAACGAUGGGCUAUAUACACGACCUUGUUACAAUGUUUCAAAUACAUGCUGCAAUUAUCAUCUAAACAGUGCGUGCAGGCUUGGAAUGAUAGAUUCCCAAGUGCUGGCCAAUCAUUGAUGAUUACGAACAAUAAUGCUCGUAGAUUAAAAGUCUCCUUUUUGUUCUCAUCCCACACAUGUACACCUUCUUCCUUCCAUAACAGUAGAAGUUCAUCAGCCAAUGAUUUUAGGUAAACAUCAAUGUCGUUGCCAGGUUAUUUUGGGCCUUGGAUAAUUACCAGCAUCAUAAUGAACUUCCACUUCAUGCACAUCCAUGAUGGAAGGUUGAACAUACACAAGGUCACAGGCCAAGUGCUAUGACCACUGUUGAAAACUUCGAAUGGAUUGAAUCCAUCUGUACUUAAACCAAAUCAUAUGUUCCUUGCAUCCUUUUCAAAAUUGAGAAAUUCUCUAUCAACUGUUCUCCACUGGAACCCAUCAGUGGGGUGUCUGAUCAUUUCAUCUUGCUUACAUUCUUCUUUGUGCCAACGCAUCAACUUUGCAUGUGCUUCGUUUCUAAACAAAUGCUUCAAUCGUGGUACUAUAGGGAAAUACCAUAUUACCUUCGCAGGAACUUUCUUCUUGAUGGCCUCCCCUUCAACAUCACCGAGGUCAUCUCACCUGAUCUUAUAACGCAGUGCUUUGCACACAGGACAAGUCUCCAAUUUCUUGUAUUCCUUACCGCGAUAAAGGAUGCAAUCAUUAGGACAUGCAUGUAUCUUUUGUACCUCCAAACAUAGAGGGCAAACAACCUCUUUUGCUUUGUACGUUGAGGACGACAAUUCAUUCCCCUCGAGAAGUAUUUUCUUGAUGAUUUUCCUUAACUCAUCAAAACCCUUGUCAGAAACUCCAUUUUUUACCUUCCAUUGCAGCAUUUCCAGUGUGAUACCUAACUUUUUUGCCCCUAUUUGCAAUUUAGGUAUAACAAUUUCUUAUGAUCAUCUAACAUACGCUCGAACAGUUUUGACUCCUUCACAUUCUCGUAGUCUUCCUUUGCACCUCGCAAUACCUGACCUAGAUCGUCAAUAGGACCUUCUACCGCGCCCAUCUAUUCUUCAGCAUCGCCCAUUAGAGCAUCUGCAAAGGCACUUCCUUGAAUUCAGUUAGGAAUGUUGUCAUAUUUUUCUUCAUCAUCAUCAUCCAUCAUAACUCCUCUUGCACCGUGCUUGGUUCAAACAAAAUAGUCUUUCUGAAUGAGUAAUACUUCUCAUUUUUGCAAUUUAUGCAUGGACAACAACUGAAAUUGGAAGGCGGUUUGUUCGAUUAUGCCUGAUCGAGAAAACCAUGCAAGCCAUUAAUGUACUCCACGGAAUGUUUGUCUGCAUUGUACAUCCAUUGCCAAUCUAUCUAGAAAAUAUUACCGAACCAAAGAUAUUCUGAUCAUCCAUACAAUUAUAAAUGAAACAUAAAAAAUAUGAAACAAAUAGCAUUAAACUGAAAUGUUGCUGAAAAUUUAGAUAGAAAUAGCAUGAUUUUAUAUAAAUUCUAGCUACUUCAAGAAUUUUUUUUAAGUUAACAUGAUUUUCUACAAUUUCCUAUACAAACUGGUGCAUAUAUUUUAAAGAACAAAAAUGAGCUCUAAAUAACACAUUCAUAUAAACGAAUUAGCUAGAGAAUAUAGAAAAAUUCUUGAAUUAGUGAGAAAUGAACAUUAUUUCCUACAAUUUGAUAAUGUAAUUGCUAAAUUAACAUGAUGUAAUUUUCACUUAUUUUUAUAUAUUUCUAAGAACUAACAUGAUUUUACAUAAAUUCUAGCUGCUUCAAGAUUUUUUUCUAAGUUAACAUGAUUUCCUACAAUUUCCUAUACAAAAUGGUAUACUAUCCAUAUAAAUAACACCUUCAUAUAAAUGAAAAAAUUCUCCAUUGUACCUUAUUCUAAAAAUCACAAAUUACUUUAUCUCUAAAGCAUAAAACUUAGUAUACUCUCCAUGUAUCAAAGGAGGAUGAAGUUUCUAACCUUUAGAACACUUGAAUGAGUGAAAUCCCUAAAAAAUGGUCACAAAUCUGGCAGCACCUCCCCAUAUUUCGCCAUGGAUAGGGUGAAGCUCGAGCUGGAGGAGUUUGCUCGAGCUGGAGUAAGAAGGAAAGGUAUUUAUAGGAUGGAAACUAGUACCGGUUGGGGGGCACCAACCAGUACUAAAUGGGGGGAAAUUAGUACUGUUGGUGCCCAUCCCAGUCAGUUUAUUUUGUAACUUUCCAAUUGGUAUACUUCCAGCAGCCUGUACACACACGUGAAUUAAUUUGUAUUGAUAAACAAUUUCAAAAUUACUCAAGUCACACGGUUGUAUAAACUCAAUUAAUUUCUCUAUCCAGCAAGUCACACAUGUGCAAAAUGGAAUUAUCCAUGAUCCAUAGACAUGGAUCCAUCCACGUCAAUCCCGAAUAAUGCUGCAUCUGUAAUCACUCAUAAAUCAUAUAUCGCAACAAGAACAGAGCAGUGCAAGAAGCUAAUACUAACUCUGAUUCUCUAGUGUUGUAGACCAUACAUCCUCGGACCCACUAGAAGGUCUGUACGGACCCACUCAAGGGGAUGUACUCAAAAUAUAUCAGGACAUGAAGACUAUGCUAUAGGGCAACAUAGACUACAUGGAACUCUCGAAGGGCUAAUCGGAAUACAAGGAAAAUACUCUGCCGAGUUAGAGUAGGAUUCUAUAGUCUUGUCUGACUAAUACUCUUGUACUCAAAGCUACCCUGUAACCCUGCUUCCCGGAUAUAUAAGGGCGGGCAGGGACCCCCUCAAAAUAAGUUCAAUCGAAUUGUACGUAGGACGUAGGGUAUUACGUGAUCUAGCGGUCCGAAGCUAUCUAAAUCGUGUCCCUGCGUCACCAUCGACUCCUUGAUUUCGGCGACACCCACAAACCAAAACACUAUCUCAAGUACUCCCUUGAUAGGUUGCCGGGUUAAAACACCAUAGCUGGCGCGCCAGGUAGGGGCGGUCGCCAAAAUUCUCCGUGAGAGAUCGAUGGCUUCAGUCAUCAUCAAUCCUGCAUUCGUGUUCGAAGCGGGUGCAACGUUUGUUUUUGGCUCUUGGCUCUGCAUCGCUGACAGCAUUGGAAACCUCCAAUGCCGCAUCAUCGAAGAACCGGGGAAGAAUCAUCUCAGAGGAAACUCUCAUCGACAGGAGGAUGAAGAUUUCAUCGAGAAAUUUCAAUUUUUUGAUCUCAACAACACCGGGUUCGACAACAGCUCGGACUCAACUACAACUCGGACUAGUCCACGCGAGCAGGCAAUUCAGCCAUCGUGAGGACUGGAUACAACUUCAAGCCAAUUUCCUCUUGGACUGCAAAACGCGGUCACGAUUCAUCAAAAAACUCCAUCUAAAGUCCAGUCUGGAUUAGAGUCAAUUGAAGACUACAACUCCGACUCAAACUCUUUUGAACAACUCCCCUUAUCAAGUUCCCAACACGGCCUGUUAAUCACAUCAACACCACAAAGUAGAUUUGUCUACUGGCCGGGCAUGAAACCAUCAAUCCUUGCCCAAGACAAUGAAUCACACCUCAUCGCACAUUUGGAUAUCCUCCCAUAUCAAGAGGGUACUCCACUCUCACCGAUCCAUGAAGAAGAUAGCUCCACUGAAGUCAUAACAUCCAGCUCUGGAAGCUACUCUCCGGAUAGAGAACUCUUUGUUGUGGUUUCACCAAUUGAUGGAACAGGAACCAACGAUCACCACCAAAGAACUCCUCAUCGAGAACGCCAAAUGGAAGAAGUCCCCCAAGAUGAAUUAUCAGCUGACGCCCCGGAGGGUGAAACUAGCAGCCAAAGAACUCAAAGAAGAGCAAGAAACAAUCAGAGGGUGGAACGUCGUAGACUUCUAGCCGCAAGAGUUCCCAUUGUGAACCUCAACAGAGCAUUUGAAGUAGUUCAAACAUGAGAACAUAACACACCACUUGUUGCUAUCGCUUCUAUCGACCUUAUCGCCCGAUCAAUGCCUCCAAACAAAUACAACAAUCUUCUAUUAUAUUUGGCAGAAGACGCUUACAAACUCCUUGACAAAGAAAUGCCAAUCCCAUCCGUGCCUCACAACCCAAGUCACCAUGAUGAUAGCAGAGACAAUGCAAGACUCUCAAACCAACAACAUGAUGAACCAAGACAACAUAGGGGCAUACUCGAAGCUCCAAGAUGAAACAGAGACGCAGCUGAGGGUAGUCGCACAGCCUCUGUGGAAGAACCAUGCCACCACAGAGCAAAUCUAUAAUCUUCACACAUCAGUGAUCUUCAAGAAACACUAAAUAACAAUCAUGAUGCUCGAGAUAUAAUCAAAAAUCACCGUCGUGAACGUGAAGCUGAGAGUGAUGACAAUGACCAUUUCCCCACUUUCACAAGACGAAUCAUGCAGACUACUCUCUCAGAGAAAUUCAAACCAAUGGGCAUCACCAAAUAUGUUGGCAAACAAGACCCAGUUCAGUGGCUCUGAUGCCACGCAAUAGCAGUCUAAGUUGCGGGCGGAAGCGAUGAUACAAAAGUCAUUCACUUUCCCAUAUGCAUAGAACCAAUGCCACUAACUUGCCUCGAAUCUUUGAAGCCUAACUCCAUCGACUCAUGGUCUGAUCUAAAGAAAGCUUUUACAAGCAACUAUGUGGGAGCUAUGCAGCGCCCCGGCAACAGAAUUGACUCGGCUCAGAUUAAACAGCAAAAGGAUGAGUCCUUGCGCAGCUACCUACACGCUUUUUCGAUAAAAAAGCUACAAUUGUCGACAUUUCAGAGGCAGAUGUGAUUGAAUGUUUUCAAAACAAUCUCUGGGACUGCCGCAUGUUCCAAGACUUUGGCAAACGCCGGCCAGCGGAUGUCAAAGAACUCAAAAUUAUGGCUCGGUCAUGGGCACACAUAGAAGACAAAGAGCGUGAAAGGUUUGAUUCACACCACAAUCGCAGACGUGCCAACAAUAACCAAAGCAACAAUCAAGAACAAGAUAGAAACCGCAACGGCGAUCACCGAAGCAACUACUUGGGCAAUCAGAAUUGCAAGCGCAAACCAGACAAUACCAUUGCAGCAAUGUCAAAUCCAAGCAAGAAAGGACCGAAUAAACGAAAUAAUGGCCCCUCAUUCAAUGAACUACUCAAAAACAAUACCCAUGACACUCGCGCAGCAAGCAUGCAGCAAUAGACUGCUACAACCUUCACAGAGUUAUGCAAGAAUUACCAGAACCUCCCGCCAACAACAAUAGAAAUAAUAAUAAUAAGGACAAAGGCAAGGGCAAGAUGGAUGAAACUGAAGAUGGCGAAGACAAGUUCCAGACAGCAUCUAAGACCGUCAACGUCAUCUUCGGUGGAAUUCCAGGCACUACCUCCAAAUGAUCCAAUAAAUUAGUACUCAGAGAAAUUAUGGCUAUAGAACUAGCCACCCCUACACCUCUCAAAUGAUCUGAGGUACCCAUUACCUUCAGCAGAAAGCAUCAAUGGACCAACUUCUCAGAACCAGGACGUUUCCCUCUAGUACUAGACCCAGUUGUCGCAGGCUCAAGACUAACCAAAGUACUCAUCAACGGCGGCAGUGGACUCAGCGUCAUUUUCACCAAGACUCUAAGAAGGAUGGGCCUCGACAUCACCAACAUGCUUACCCCAAUAGAUUCUCCCUUCUAUGGAAUCAUCCUAGGCAACACAGCCAUUCCACUAGGACAAGUUGUCUUACCUGUCACUUUCAGUACCAAAGAGCAUUACCGCACAGAGUACAUCAAAUUCGAGGUGGCUGAGUUUGAGACUUCUUACCAUGCCAUCCUCGGAAGACCGAAAGGAGAACAUCUCUUCGAGGAGAUCUGUAAUGAUCAUAUGAAUGUGACACAAAACCUAUUGAGAUAGCCGCGACUCCUCAAGUUCCCAGCUCCAUGCAACAAGUGUUCACCGCAUCAAAGAAGCUUACCUUGGCAGAACUCGAAAUCCCAAAAAACAAGCCAGGAGCUACUAAAGUCAAGCCAAAAAAUGACAAAGAUUUCAAAUCCAUCAACCUCGAAAUUGGCAACUCAUCAAAAACUGCCCUGAUCGGAAUAGGGCUCGAUCCCAAAUAGGAAAGCACGCUCGUCGGUUUCCUUCAGGCAAAUCGAGACAUCUUCACGUGGAAACCAGCUGACAUGCCAAGUGUGCCCAAGGAACUGAUCGAGCAUUCACUCAACGUCGAUCCCAAAGCUACUCCAAAAAGACAAUGACUAUGAAUAUUCGCUCAAGAUAGAAGAGAUGCAAUUAAAAAAGAACUAGCCAAAUUACUCGCAGCAGGGUUUAUAAAGGAAGUUUUCCAUCCUGAUUGGUUAGCAAAUCCUAUUUUAGUUCGAAAGAAGAAGAACAACGAGUGGAGGAUGUGUGUCAACUACACAGACCUCAACAAACAUUGCCCCAAAGAUCCCUUUGGGCUUCCCAGAAUCAACGAAGCCGGAUGCGCACUACUCUGUUUUCUUGAUUGUUACUCAAGAUAUCAUAAGAUAGCUUUGAAGGAAGAAGAUCAAGCCAAGACCGCAUUCAUCACCCCUUUUGGAGCAUUCUACUACAAGACAAUUUCCUUUGGGUUGAAGAACGCUGGUGCAACUUAUCAACGUGCAAUUCAAAUGUGCUUCGAGAAACAACUACACUCCGCAAUGUGGAAGCCUACGUGGAUGAUGUAGUAGUCAAAACUAGAAAUCCAGAUGAUUUAAUCGCAGACUUAGAAGAAACUUUCACAAGCCUGCGAGCGUUCUGAUGGAAACUAAAUCCUACCAAGUGGGUUUUCGACGUACCUUUGGGAAAAUUACUCGGGUUCAUCAUCAGUCAUUGAGGCAUCGAAGCAAACCCUGAGAAAAUCUCCACCAUUGCUAACAUGUAAGCUCCAUCUGGCAUAAAAGACGUUUAGAAACUCACAGGCUGCAUGGCGGCUCUAAACAGAUUCAUAUCAAAACUUGAAGAACGGGGUUUACCUUUCUUCAAAUUACUCAAACGACAAGACAAAUUUCAAUGGACAGAGGAGGCAAACAAAGCUCUUACAACUGAAAGAUUUCCUGUCAAAGCCACCAAUCCUCACAGCUCCAACUCCAACUUAAGAUUUGCUCUUGUACAUCGCUGCAACUACUCAUGUUGUCAUCACAGCAAUAGUAGCUGAAAGAACUGAACCAAGCCACGUCUACAAAGUCAAGAGACUAGUAUACUUUGUCAGCGAAGUACUCUCGGAUUUCAAGACACGGUAUCCACCGAUCCAGAAGCUACUCAACACCAUACUACUCACUUCCAGGAACACAACUUCUAGGAACACAACAUAUUCGUCAUCACUAACUUCCUGCUCGGUGAAAUCCUCCACAAUCGGGAUGCCAUGGGCAGAAUCUCAAAGUAGGCAGUAGAACUCAGAGCAUUGACCUUGGAAUUCAAACCUAGACCAACAAUUAAAUCCCAAGCUCUAGUCAACUUCAUGGUUGAGUGGAGGGAAAAUCAAUUGCCUACACCAAUAGAACGCCCUGAACACUGGGUCAUGUACUUUGACGGAUCUCUUAAGCUUGAGGGAGCCAGCGCAGGAGUACUCCUAAUAUCUCCAAAAGGCGAACAACUCAAGUACAUUCUUCAAAUCUUUUGGGAAGCAUCAAGUAAUAAAGCCGAGUACAAAGCACUUCUACACGGUCUUCACCUAGCAAUUUCACGAGGCAUCAAAAGAUUACUAGUCUAUGGUGACUCAUUAGUAGUCAUCAAUCAAGUCAAUGACGAGUGGGAUCACAACAAGGAAAAUAUGGACGCAUACUGCUGGGAAGUCCGCAAACUAGAGAACAAGUUCUUAGGUCUCGAAUUUCACCACGUGGUCUGCGACAACAAUGUUGCUGCUAAUGUUUUAUCCGAAAUGGGUUCAACACGCGCAAAAGUCCUAGCAGGCAUCUUUGUUUAUGAACUUCACAAGCCGUCCAUAAUAGAACAAGAAACUCCAGCAACCACUAGCAAGGGUCCAUCAGACCGGGAGAUCAUGAUCAUCGAGGUAGACUGGAGGACUCCUUUUAUCAACUACAUUAAAGAGCAAGCUACCUUCCGACAAGACGCAAGCAGAACAAGUCUCACGGUGCGCCAAAAGCUACGCUCUAGUUGGAGAUAAACUCUACAGAAGAGGAGCAUCCUCGAGAGUACCCAUGAAAUGCGUUACUUGCGAAGACGGCAAAGAUAUCUUGGAGGAAAUACACAAAGGAAUUUACGACAACCACGCAUCCUGAAGAACAAUAGUAGGCAAAGCCUUCAGAGCGGGAUUUUAUUGGCCAACUGCGAUGGCAAAUGCAGUAGAACUAGUCCGCAGAUGUCAAGGAUGCUAGUUUUUUGCCAAACAACAUGUUCCUGCUUACAAACUCAUCACCACACCUCCAACAUGGCCUUUCGCAUGCUAGGGGCUCGACAUGAUUUGUCCACUCCAAACAGCCCUAGGAGGAUUCAAUCGAGCACUCGUCAUCAUUGAUAAGUUAACCAACUGGAUCGAAGUGAAACCGGUCACCUGCUCCAAGGCUGACAAGGUUCUAGACUUCCUGGACAAAAUAGUUCACUGCUAUGGUUUCCCAAACAGGAUCAUCACAGAUUUGGGUUCAAACUUCAACAAUCACGAGUUCUGGAAUAUUAUUAGAACAGCGGAAUUGACGUUCGUUAUGUCUCCGUCGCUCACCCAAGAGCCAACGGUCAGGUCGAGCGUGCUAAUGGAAUGAUACUUGAAGCUCUCAAGACAAGGCCGCACGACAUCGGCAACACCAAAGGAGGCAAGUGGCUCAACGAAUUACCCAACGUUCUCUGGGGACUACAUACUCAACCAUGCAAGCCCACUGGGCAGUCACCCUACUUCCUUGUCUACGGGUCAGAAACCAUACUUCCUACGGACGUCAUGUGGAAAUCCCCUACGGUCGAACAAUACGAUGAAGGAAUAGUAGAGGAAACAAGGCGCUUAGACCUUGACAGCUUGGAAGAAUCACGAUGUGCAGCACUCGUACAGUUAGCAAGAUACCUUGAAGGACUUCACCAUUAUCAUGAUCGUAACGUCAAAGAAUGUUCUUUCAACAUUGGCGACAUGGUCCUCAAGCGCAUUCAAGACACAACGGGGCUACACAAACUUAACUCAUCGUGGGAAUGGCCUUACAUCGUAUCCAAAGUCACAGGACCAGGAUCGUACAGGCUGCAGGAACUCUCCGGUGAAGAAAUCGCAAAUUCAUGGAACAUUGAGCACCUAUGCCGUUACUACCCAUAGUCAAUUGACUAAGCGGCACUGUACUCAGGCCACAGGCCUCAAUCUUUCAUUUUUCAACUAAUAAAUUUCUUACUCAUCUUUACCUACAAACCAGCGGUUCGCAAAGGUGAGUCAGCUGCAACUUGAGCUACUCAGCUCUACGAGCCUCUACGCUCUGGUUUUGACUUGUUUUCAACAAGUCUAGCAGCUCGCAAAGGUGGGUCAGCUGCAACUUGAGCUACUCAACUCUACGAGCCUUUGCGCUCUGAUUUUGACUUAUUUUCAACAAGUCUAGCGGCUCACAAAGGCGGGUCAGCUGCAACUUGAGCUACUCAGCUCUACGAGCCCCUACGCUCUGACCUCCAUCUUGAGCUGUACAGCUCCACAAGCUCUAGCACUUUGAUUUGUCAAACACAAGUCUAUACGAGCUCUCCACAACUUAUACAGUGGCCUUAAGCAUCAGUCUUUUGCAACAAGCAGAUAGAGAGUACACAAAAAAUACUCAUCUUAUUUCUCACAUGCAACUUUCGUAUUAACAAAAUUUUGCAGGAUUACAAUAGUUGACUCUACUUUAAGAAGUCAAGGUGUUCAGAGUAUGACACAAGUGCACAACAAUGACUGCAAGCAACUGCCUACUGGCAGUUACAACAGAAGUCCCAGGCUUUUAUUAUAUCACAAGGAUACACUUCAGCCUAGUGACUACUCGUGGUCCACAAAAAAGAACCGCCAAGAAGCAAGGAGUACACGUAAGGAAGCUGCACUCUAAGCAGUUGUGCCCUUCUCCUCCCCUCGGUGGUGGCAUAGACAGAGACUGGAGCUUCACACACUCCAGUUCCGCUACCCUUCAUCAACACCCUCUCCCUCUUAUAAGUACUCAGAAUUGGACUUCAAGCACACAUCGUGUACUUGAGUCUCAUCCCGAGACAUUGUAGAGAGAGUGAGCAGUCGGCACCACGCCUCCAUCCUCGACCAGACAACUAGAUAAAGACCGUGAAGCUCAUCAUCUUUCACCCACGAGCUCCAGCAUGGUUACUACCAGAGAGUAGGGGAAAACAUCGAGCACACGGCAUAUCCUCCUACGAGGAUUCUUCUAGCUUCACAGUCAUCUCUCCUAGCGAGGAGAUUUGUGGAGGGAAUGUGGAACCUCACUAUGAGGAAUCUUCUAGCACUAGGGCACUCAUUGGAAACUUGCUACUAUCAAAGAGAAGCAGCCUAAGGCCAACCAUCGAUAUACUCGGAUCCAUGUCUCAAGCAAUGGCAGCUGGGGGGCUAUUUAUAGCUGGAAGGCCAGGCAGAAUAAGUGCACCUCCAAUUGAUGACUGCCUCCUCCUAUAACAGUUUUGCAUCUACCAACUCUUGGAUGGUUUCCUUUCUCAUGGUGGACAUUUUCCAAGCACAAGCUUGAUUCGGCGGGGCAGUCUGAUCGGUAGGCCCACAUUUGGGCGGGGGAAGCUGCGGCUCCUUCCCUUUCUUGGAUUAUUUCGUCGAUCCCUCCGCAGCGUUUCCCUUGGACUUGUCAAUUUUCUUCCCCAUCUUCUUCACACGCAUCACCACGGGGUGCGCAAGGGGAGGAGAAGAAAGCUACUUGAGAUUGCUAGUUUUAGCUAAUGGUGGUGGCGGCGCAAGCGGUGGCGCUAGGGUUUUUUCAAAAUGGAGGAUGAACAGAUGAGAAUGGCAGGAAGCGUAAACCACGGGGGCUACUGCCCUUAUCUUUUAUAAUAGAGCGACGGAUCUAAAAUGUCCCCGAGGUUCUGGUAACGGAGCCGGCAAUUUCGCAACAAUCUGAUACUCUCAACAUUUAUCGCGAGAUUGAAAUCCAACGGUCACGUUGAUCACGAUUGACCCCUUCAUCACCUGAACGUAGUCGAUCAAAGUGCUCAGGGACUGCAUACACCUUGCCCGUCGGACAGAAUUUUCUUUUUAUUCAAGAUUGAGGAAAGAUGAAGCAAAUUCAGUUUUACCCUCAGCCUGAUUCUUUGAUUCAACCUAAGGCUCAAGGGCUACUCUAUAUGGAGUGCGAUUUUCAUCGCACUUCCAUAUAAAAGUCCUGAAGAUAGACUACUCAAAACCAAUGGGGCAGGAGUACCUUCCAGCCGCAUGACAGAAUUCGAGUACUCGAAAGACUAAACCACAACAGAGGUACUCAACAAGCACCGAAGACUAGUCGAGCAAUGUCUGCUGAGUACUCGGAACCCUUUCAUUUGACUACAAAGUACUCGGGGACUUGUCGACCAUACAUCCCCGGACCCACCAGAAGGUCUGUACGGACCCACUCAAGGGGACGUACUCAAGACAUAUCCGGACAUGAAGACUACGCUACCAGGGGACUUGUCGACCAUACAUCCCCGGACCCACCAGAAGGUCUGUACGGACCCACUCAAGGGGACGUACUCAAGACAUAUCCGGACAUGAAGACUACGCUACCAGGUAACGUAGACUACAUGGAACUCCUGAAGGGCUAGUCGGAAUACAAGGAAACUACUCUGCCAAGUUAGAGUAGGAUUCUAUAGUCUUGUCUGACUAGUACUCUUGUACUCAAAGCUACCCUGUAACCCUGCUCCCCAGAUAUAUAAGGGUGGGCAGGGACCCCCUCAAAACAAGUUCAAUCGAAUACAAGCGUACAAUACACAGGACGUAGGGUAUUACGCGAUCUAGCAGUCCGAACCUGUCUAAAUCGUGUCCCUGCAUCACCAUCGACUACUUGAUUUCAGCGACACCCACCAACCAAAACACUAUCUCGGGUACUCCCUUGAUAGGUUGCCGGGUUAAAACACUGACACCUAGGUUAUAUCAAAAUUUUAUGUGACAAAGAUAAAUUUUGCUAUUGCCUGCCUUAAAUCUUGAUGGAGAGAUUAUAGAGUUGAUUAUAACCAUGCGCUUAGUGCUCACAAAUGAACGCCAAAUGAAACAAACCAUUAUCGCAAUUUAAUUUUUAUGAUCAAAAUUUCCUAGGAAUAUGUGUUUACAAUUUAAAUAUCAGUUUUUGUAACACAUGUAGUCCAAAUGAACAUAUCGUAUGAAUCUUGCUAGAGAACAGAGAGUUGACUACAAACAUGUGCUCUUAAAUGAACACCAAAUGAAGCACAUCAUUACCUCAAUUCGAUUUUCUCAAUAAAACUUUUUAUGUGAUGUUAAUAGGAUGUAGUUUUGUCCCAGCCAAAUUUUAUCAUUUUCUAAGAAAUUUAAUAUAUUAUUAAAUUUAAUAAACUAUAAAGCUACAAAGAAAAGUAGAGUGUAAAUUAGACAAAGAUUCGAUUUUUUUUCUUCAAAAUUUCCACGUGGUAUAAAUUACAUUAUCCUAUAUAUUUUUGUAAUUUAAUAAUAAUUUUACAUCACAUGUAAUUCACACACUUAGUAAUUCAAUAAAUAGAGGGAAAUAUAUUUAAAUUCUUAAAAAGUAUAUUAUUGCAUAAAAAUUAUGUGUUAGCUACGGAUCACCUUAUACUUUACAAGAGAGGAGAGAGUUUACUAUAAUCUCACAUAUAUGUUUGUUGGUAACUUCGUUAUAUAUUGUUCCUAUGCACAUGAUAAUGUAAUUUCCUAUGUGUUAUGUCAAUUUCCCUGUGUGUUUUAGCUAACACACAAGGAAAUCUGUGUGUCAUAUCAAUUUCCUUGUGUAUUUCAUCUAACCCACAGAGAAAGGUGCGUCAUAUCAAUUUCCCUGUGUGUUUUACCUAACCCACAAGAAAAUGAGGAAUUUCCCUGUGGGUUUUGGUAUUUGCCUGUGUGUUCUUUUGGAAUCGACAAGGAAAUGUGAAGUCCCCUGUGUGUGCACGAAAAAAUCCUCAGGGAAAUUUGGCACACACAAGGAAAUUAAUUCGGGUUUCCAGUAGUGUAAUAACCCUGUAUUUUUACAUCAACACGACAUACAUAGAAUUGAAUAAUUAAGGCCCUGUUUGUUUGAACUUUAGCUUUCCAAGCUUUCUAGAAAGCUGGCUUUUGGUUUUUGCUCGCUGGAAGGGUGGCUUUCCGAAAGCUAGCUUUGGGAAAGCUAACACCAUUUGGCAACCUAGCUUUUAGAAUGGUAUGAUGGAGUGUCUGUUCUGUGGGAUCCACAUGUCAGGCUUUUCUUCAACCUUGCUCGACAGACGGAAGGCAAGACCGACAGGGAGAGGGAAGGGGUGGGGGCGGCCGGAGGUGAGACCGACGGGGGAGGGGGCGCCAGGGAGCUCCGCGCUCCUACGGCAGUGCAGCUCCGGGUGCCGGAGGGGCCGAGGAGCCAAACUCACUCUUUGACAACGCAGAAUUNNNNNNNNNNNNNNNNNNNNNNNNNNNNNNNNNNNNNNNNNNNNNNNNNNNNNNNNNNNNNNNNNNNNNNNNNNNNNNNNNNNNNNNNNNNNNNNNNNNNAGGAGCUCCCCUGCGGCCCCGCCCCUACCCCCGCGCUCCUCCGCGCCGGCUUGGAGGGAGACGGCUCCUCCUGGGGUCCUGCCGGAAGGGAGGACUCGACAAGGUGGGGUAGGUGUCCGAAAUAGAUCACCAAAUCCCGCACGGGCAGCUGAGAGAUCCGAGCCCACCACGAUCCAUGGUGGCCACCGCAACGGCCGGUGCGGCGACGCGCUUCAUACUUAUCCUCCUCGCUGGCUUCCUCGACACGACGCCACAUGGGGCGGACGCGCUCCGGUCGCUCAGCGUCGAGGGUGCGGGUGGGGCCGGCGGCGCCAACGACAACGCCACCGUGGACCUCGACACCGGCAACUUCACCGCCUUCCUCCACGCCUCGCUGGAGUCAUUCGCGGUCAUCGAGUUCUUGGCCCACUGGUCGGCCGCUCCGCGCCGGCUCGGGCGCCACAAGACCGGACGAGAGGGAGAUGGCACAUAUGGAGAUGGAAGGAAAGAAAAAUGGCCGGUUCGCACCAUAAAUGAUGGUAGGAGGGUAAUUUUCGCGACCUUGACAUAGAAAAGCUGCAGAAAACUCACAUUUCGCAGCUUCUGGGCUUUUGGCUUUCGGAAAGCUCAGCCCAGAAACUGACCAUUUGUUUGAGCUUUCGGCUUCUUAGGGUGGAAAGCUACUUGAAAGUCCAAACAAACAGUGCCUAAGUUUACAACGACGCUGCACUACUAGCAGCUAGGCACUGUGGAGAUGUAGCUAGAGUAGAGAACAUGCAAGGUGGUAUUAGCCGAUGAACGACGACUGAUACAUUACAUAGACAUGCAUUAUGCGCCCCCCUUACGCUGCGACGAUGGACCCCUGACGCUAUGUCAGUGAUGAAUGAUCACUGACAUGUAGCAACCACAUCACGUUGUGUUAAUAACGUCAGAGGAACCACUUCAUCCCUUACGCCGACGAGAG